RNAcentral lists this long non-coding RNA (60719 nucleotides) under Triticum aestivum (bread wheat). RNAcentral's name for it is "long non-coding RNA (TAES_LNC012515)". The stretch from base 20230 to 20354 matches the Rfam family "MIR1120/MIR1122 microRNA precursor family". Lineage: Eukaryota; Viridiplantae; Streptophyta; Magnoliopsida; Poales; Poaceae. The record is from RNAcentral.
ACGGCCCUAAAAUUGCUCUUUCCCCACGCCCCACCACAGGGCACAGGCCGACCCAACCGCCGCACUCAUCGCCGUUAACACCGCCGCUUCCGCAUCCCCAGAUCCACACCGCCCGGCCAAGGGCCACGGCUCCAUUCCCCAACCACCACGCCGCCGAACCCGUAUCCCCCCAUCCCCCAUCUCCCCGCCACACCCCCAACCGAAUCCACGCCGCCGCGGCCUGCCGCAUCCCCACCCCAUUGACGUAGCAGCCGCGCGCUGGCUGCAAGGACAUCGGCGAUGUAAUUCCUUAAACUGAGAUACAAAGAGGGAGGACAGGGUCGUGGGGCUCCGCCACGUGCCUGGAUCCAGGCACCAGCCAACGCAUCUUGCUCGAUCUGGCUACCGCCGCGCGCGUCCGUGCCAGAUCCGGCCGGCACGGUCGAGGCUGGGUGGAGGAGCAUGGGGCGGUGGCUUGGUUGUUGAGGAGGGGAAGCGAGCACGGGGCGGUGGCUAGGAUGUGGAGGAGGUGAAGCGAACACGGGCCGUUGUGGCUAGGAGGUGAGCUGCUCAUCCUCGAUCUGGAGAAGGGGAAGGCAGAGGUGAGCAGGAUCCCCUCAAUUCUUGACAUGCUUACUAGUUAAUUUUAUAUGACUAGCUUCUGAACCCGAUAUUGCAUUAUGUGCGUCGAGAAACAUACAGUUUUAUAUCCUUAUUUGCAAAUUCGGAAUUGCAUCAUCUGUUCAACAGUGUGCUUAUGAUAUUUUCCAUACGUAUGGCUCAAAAUGUAACAUGCAGUCUAAUUUGCAUAGCCAGUUCAUUUUCUUGGAGCUUAUAGAUCUGUUCCAGUUAGUAAUUCAUUCUAGAUGAUCUCUGUAUUUUGUAGGACCUAUUUUUAAUUCAAUAGAUAGAUAGAUGUUUGUAGACAAGGUCUUCAGGAAUAACAUUUUAGUGUUGAUGUUCAGGUGUAGGUUCACAAGUUGAGGGAAGCUGCAGCCAUAAAUAAUCGAAAAAGUACCACACUUCACAGUUUUUGUGAGAUUCUUGAUCCUAGUUGAAGACUUAAUUUGGUACUUCCAUCGCGUGGCAUCGUUUGACUACAUUCUGAAUACCUCAUAAUUUGUUUCUAUCAUUGCACGGUUGUAUCAUAGGGAGUAAAAUAUAUUGUGGCGUGAUAAUGGAAAUUCUGAAAUUGGACUAUCACCACAACGGAAAUAUUGUGCUCUUUUGAGUGUGAUUGGUUUGACAACCGUGUACACGGCAAGUGGGUAAAAUUUGAUAUAUUUUGAAUCACAAAUAUGAACUCUAAGCAUUUAUUUAACUCUGGUGAGAAGUUGUCUGAUGAACCAUUAUUUCUGACUCCCCAAGCAACUCAAGCUUAUUCUGUCCAAGAUUCCAUUGACAAAGAUUCAUGUAGUGUUGUCCAUUCGAAGCCAGGAAUCCUUUUUGAUAUUCUUGGAAAAGAAAUGAAAACUUUGAGAAGGUUGAUGAACCUGUGAUUCUGUUCCUUGGUUUAGAUGCUAAUGUAAAUCUCCAGCCUGAUGUUCAAGAUGCACCUCGUAUUAGAAAAGAUGUAGAUGGACAAUUGUUUGUCAGGUUAAGAAGGAUAAAUAUGUAGCUUAAAUACCUCUUUUAAUAUUUUGUAAUGUUCCUCUACUUCAGGCUUGCCCUGUGCAUAAGACGCACUAUUGCUAAUUAUGUCUUUUAUAUUUAAGUAUUCCUGCAGAGUGCCUCUUUGUUCUUCUAUUUCAGAUUGCAUAACACUUGUACUAAUUCUGAGAUGAUAUUUCUUUUCAGGAAAAGAAUGGCAAACAGAGGAUAAAGAGAUGAUGCUUCUACAUAUAAAGAUUUGUGAACAGGGAAUGUAACGCUUGUCAUAGAGAGGUUGAAUGACUUCAUUCCAAGUCUUGCAUGAACAAGACAACAAGACAAAGGUGAUGGUCGCCCUUGUGUGUUGAUACAUCUUGUGGAUGCUAGUUUUCUUUAUCUAUAAAGCAGAGCUACGGCCUAAUUUCUUAAACCAUUAAUAAAAGAAAUCAAGAAAUGCUUAUAAACUAUGGAUGUAGCAACAUCAUGACCUUCCUGUAUGCAUCAUGGACCAAUAAAGGAAUUACAUCAUGACCUUCCUGUAUGCAUCAUGACCUUCCUGUAUGCAUCAUGGAUGUAGCUACUCUGUUUCUUAAACAGUUCUGCAGCUACUACUAAAACUUUGCACAGUUUGGACAACACAUCAUGGACUAAUAAAGGGACCACACAAGUACAUAUUCAGUAAACCAACAUUCUUUGAUUUUGAGCAACCUAUAUUCAUUUCAGCAAAUGAUUUAAGUGCCUGCAAACUCUUUUUCUUUUUGUUUGAUCAACAUUUUUUCUGAAACAAGCAGCAGAUUUAAUUAGAGGGCUGUUCAGUUGGUAUACAUUCUCAUGACUAUUGAUUCUCACUAUCUAGCACUAAUACACACUACACGGAACAAACAUGUACAAAAAAAACAGAGGACGCUGUGCAUUGCCACUGGAUUGCUAGUGAUUACUUGCAGUUUUUUAAUGUUCUAUUUACUUCACAGCAAUCAGGAGAAACUAAUACACCAAAAGAUCACUACUGAUAAAUAUUUAUAAUGAUAGGUUGUAUAGUGCAUAAUCUGUUCCUAUGACUACAUGCACACAUUCUGUUUGUGCCUUGUGGAAUGCAAAGUACAGGGCGACGUCGACACACAAGUAUCUUUUUCAUUUGGAUGAGUCGAUUUUCUUUUUCAGCCCGUGCAACUUCUAUGUUUGGAACAUGUGUUCAUCUGAGCUGAUCUAUUUGGUCAUUUCCUUUUUUUUAACAGGUCACCAGUAAUAAUGCCUUUGCAUCCACAAGGUUCUAGAGGUGUGUUUGGUGAGCUAAAAGAGUAUUCUGCUGGUUUCGGUUUUGUCCAUAAUGUAAAACCUUUACUUGUGAACCUACAAAUGUACUUAUGUGUGCAUGUAGACCUGAUGGAUGGUUGUGCUUUUGGCUGUCCUGUAACUAGACUUGUAUGCCCAUUUGUGCAUCCAGGCAUGCGUGAUUGAUCUUUGUGCUUUUGGCUGUCCUGCAAUACUGGACUUAUGAACCUAUGUAUGGAUGAUGGAGACUUGUGAACCUAUGUAUGGAUGAUGGAUUGCUUAUAUACACACACACACACACACAUUAUCUCUUAAGUGAUGCAAUCUUAAUUACUGUACGCAUGUGUUGUGUUAUAUAUAGAUGGCACAAAAUGGAGUGAAGAUAGAUGAUAGCUUUUGAAAUACAUGUAUACAUAUAGGAGAUUUGUGUGUUCCCAGGGGACACAAAUAAUGGCAGUCAGACUGCCGGGAAACUCUUCAAUCUGCCCUGAAUUGUCAGUCUGCCGGGAAAAUGUUGUAUGCCGGGAAUAGUUCUAACUGCCGGCAAAGGUGCGGACAUUAAGGGCAGAGAAUAUGCCGGGGUUUGUACUAACUGCCGGGAAUUCUUUUUCCCGACGGGACUUUCAAGGGCAGUUUGUAGAUGCCGGCAAAACUCAUUCCCGGCAGAUAGUCUGCCUCCGGUAGCUAGUUUUCCCGGCAGAUCUGGUGACCCUUAAAUUUUGGUCAUGGUGCAGUGCGCACGCUUAAGGUUUCGAUAACAUUUAUAUUGUGAGUUUAUGAGUUUUGAUGUACCGAAAGAGUUCGGAGUCCCGGAUGAGGUCGGGGACAUGACGAGGAGUCUCGAAAUGGUCGAGACGUAAAGAUCGAUAUAUUGGACGACUAUAUUCGGAGUUCGGAAAGGUUCCGAGUGAUUCGGGUAUUUUUCGGAGUACCGGAGAGUUACGGGAAUUCGCCGGGGAGUAUAUGGGCCUUAUUGGGCCAUACAGGAAUUGAGGAGAGAGGCCGAAAGGAAGGAGGCGCGCAGCCCCCCUCUGGUCCGAAUUGGACAAGGGGUGCAGCCCCUCUUUCCUUCCUCCUCUCCCCCUCUUUCCCCCUUCUCCUACUCCAACAAGGAAGGAGGGAGUCCUACUCCUGGUGGGAGUAGGACUCCCCUUGGCGCGCCUCCUCCUGGCCGGCCGAACCCCUCCCCCUUGCUCAUUUAUAUACGGGGGCAGGGGGGCACCUCAAGGCACGAAACACAAGUUGAUCUACGGAUCGUUCCUUAGCCGUGUGCGGUGCCCCCCUCCACCAUAUUCCACCUCGGUCAUAUCGUCGUGGAGUUUAGGCGAAGCCCUGCGCCGGUAGAGCAUCAUCAUCGUCACCACGCCGUCGUGCUGACGGAACUCAUCCCCGAAGCUUUGCUGGAUCGGAGCCCAGGGAUCGUUAUCGAGCUGAACGUGUGCUGAACUCGGAGGUGCCGUACGUUCGGUACUUGGAUCGGUCGGAUCGUGAAGACGUACGACUACAUCAACCGCGUUGUCAUAACGCUUCCGCUUACGGUCUACGAGGGUACGUGGACAACACUCUCCCCUCUCGUUGCUAUGCCAUCACCAUGAUCUUGCGUGUACGUAGGAAAUUUUUUGAAAUUACUACGUUCCCCAACAAUGACCCCCUUUGUUGUUAUCUCAUCCACCGGGAAUUGUAAUUGUUGCAUCAAUAUUGUCCCCUCUUGUAAAACAAGGCCACACAAUACAAUUUAUGUAGCAGCAGUAACAUGAGAUGAUGUCAUGUGAUAGACUUGUUCGUGUCGUACACAUUUUCCUUGUACAUUUUAUCUCGUUGGUGUUGAUUUUGUUCAAGUAGACUCCAUUUGCAUUUAAGGAUACUAUUGGUUUUCAAUCUAUUAUUUUAGUGUAUUUGAUGCAUGAUUUUCACAUAUUAACUCGUAUUUUAGCAAAGCGAUAGUACAUAACUUUAUAAGUGUCAUUCUUUCACCAUAACAGUUAAGGAUACCAUGACUUCAAAGAACAGUCUUUUUAGUGAACCGCAAAAGGAGAGUUGAGAAUAUUAUCGAUGUUAGCACAACAUGAAAAAUCCUAUUUCCCGUUCGUUUUGGGACAUACUUAGUUUUUUAGGUGUGGGACAUACUAACUACUUAGGUUUUUUUGAGCGAAACUUACUACUUAGUCUUUUUUUAGCGACACUUACUACUUAGUUUUUUUUUAGGAAUCCCGACGCUUUAUUACUCAAACUUCACAAUGUUUGGGAUACUUAGUAAAUCAUACAAAACACACACUCAUUGCAGUGUUGUUUAGGUAAUGGGCCGGCCCAUGUAUGCACACCUCUCGGCCCUUGUGGUGUUGUUUCCCGGUUUGGGGAAGGUUCCACCCGGUUUUGAGAAGGUUUUGACCAUUUUCUUCUUCUUUUCAUUUAUGUGUUUUCUCUCCCAGGUUAUUGAUUCGUAAAAAAAGGUUAUUAGGUUUCUUUUCAGUUUUAUUAUUUUUUCUUGUUCGGUUUACUUUUUCCUUCUUUCGUUUUUGUAUUUCCAUCUUCAAUAUUUUCUUUCUCCUUUUAUAUGUUUUUAAUGUAUGAACAUUUUAUAAAGUUUCUGAACAUAUUUGAAAUUAGUAAACAUAUUUCAAAUUUGUGAAUGUUUUUUUAAACUCAUGAACAUUUCUAAAAUUCAUGAACAUUUUUAAAAUUGUGACCAUUUUCAAAGCCAUGUUUUAGAAAAAUGCCAAUAUGUUUUAUUUCAAGAACAUUUCCAAAAUGCGUGAAGAUUUUUGAAAUUGUGAAUAUGUUUUAUAAUUCAUGAACAAUUUUUAAAAUCCAUGAACAUUUUUAAAAUCGUGUUUUUUCACAACUUUUUCAAAACUAGCAAAAAACAGGUAGCCGUUUUUUUCCAGAUGAGCCAGCAGCAAAGAAGCGAGCGAGUGGGAGCUUUGUGAGUCAUGGGCCAAUGCGCAUUUUGGCGGCAAUUCGCCACAAGGCGCUCCUGUUGCAACACAAUCAGAUUCACUAAUUGGGCCACGCCAUGAAAUCCUAAAUGAUAUUGAGCUGAGAAAUGAGAAGGACCACUGAACCGGAUUAGCAUUGAAUGUGUAUAACCAAUUCCACUGCCAGCCUAGAAAAAACCAAUUCCACUGCCAGCCUAGAAAAAACCAAUUCCACUGUCAGCAAGACAGAUUUAGGACAUGAUGUUGCGUUCUAGUUAAAGAGAUGGCCUAGUCAGAGCAUCUAUUGUCGGACUUAACAAAUCUUACCCAUAAACGCCCGCGAACACACCCAGUCAGUCACUGGACGUGUCUGUCUUGAGCAUCUAUUUAUUCGUUCAUACAUCCACACUUCUUAUUUUCUCUCUCAUAUGUCCGGUCACUUGCAUGUGAUUGGUGAAGAAAAGAGAAAGAAAGAAAAUAAAGAAUAAACAAAAAGAAAAAGGUGGUCCGGGUGGGCCACGUCCUCCGUGGCGGACUGACGAAGCGCGCCCGCGAGCCCUUAUAUCCUCUCUACAUUUAUGCUAAAUAUUGAGAGUUUACGGAUAGCCCGGACGUAUAGAAAUGAUAUGAGGGUUUUGAUUCCACUCUCUUGUCCGGUCACUAACUAGGCGCUUCCGCGGACGUUCGAGGAGAAUUAAAAAUAUCCGGUUGUAGAUGCUCUCACAUGCGCCAUGGGGCGCAACCCGGCCAUCGCAUGCGCCAUGAGCGCAACGCGGUGAUCUAGCAUCGCUUUCAUCCGUUCUGUCCGCGGCUAAUAUGCAAACAACGCUCAAGUUGCAAUCACACACAACAUGAGGGAAAAGGGGAGAGGCAGCCUACCCAAAACGGAAUUAAUUAGUACAUGGGUGGACGAGCACUUACCGUAUAUGGACUAAGCCUCUGGUCCGAAAACCGACCGCGCGGCCAGGUUCGUGAUAUUAAUGCUCGAAUUGGAACCACUCCUGCUCCUCCUCUAUAUAUUCAACUGUCCUCUGAUCGGGAGCAAAGCAGCGGCCAGGCUUACUGCUUAGUGGCAGCCAUGAGGAUGGAGCAUGACUUCCAUAUGGCCGAAGGAGAAGACGAGAACAGCUACGGCAAGAACUCAAGGCUUCAGGUCUCAUACUGUAUAUCUUCUCACGUACUAGUAUCUGCCGCUGCAGUCCUAAUUUGAUUGCUGGAUUCAGCUGCAAUUGUUCAUAGAGAUUUCCCUUUCCGUUUUCCUUAGGAAGAUGCCUUCACUAGUAGACAAACACCUAAUAGUCCCGAUUCGUGAGGGCCUUUAGUCCCGGUUCAUGAACGGGCCGUUACUAAUACCUUCACCCAUUAGUCCCGGUUCAAACAAGAACCGAGACUAAUGUACCUCCACGUGGCUCUGUGCGCCGAGCCUAGUCAGGGGGCCUUUGGUCCCGGUUGGUGGCACCAACCGGAACCAAAAGUUCAUGUUUGUUUUUCGGAAAGUGGCUGCUUUAGGGGUUUUGGGGGUUAUUUUUAGGUUGUUAUAUUAGCUAGCUAAUAGAGAGAAGUGUCCUCUCUUAUAUCUUCGUCCUUGGUUUACCAACGCUACUGCUAUAUAUGUUCAUUUUACCCGUUGAUAUAAUAACUAAUGCAUGCUCGCAUACAUCAGCAUAUAUAAUAACAAGUACUCGUCCUACUAAUCAUGCAUCAUCAUACAACUUCUACUCGUUAUUAAUAAUAAGUCAUACGAUCAUCAUCCUCAUAGUCAUCGAACCCAACCCUACAUAAUUAUUCUUAACACAUGAUCAUCAGUAUCAGGUAGGACCUAAACACCCUUAAGGUAAAAUAGCAUAAAACAAUAUAGACCCCGACUCUCCAUUAUGAAGAAUGGCGAUCAUCCUGUCUCUAAUUUUUGCCCUUCGCUGAAUGUUGCUUCCAAGAAGCUCCUUACGACUGUCCAUACAUUUUUUCCAUUCUUUGAUUGUCAUGUCUCCACUUCUUUUAGAAACCCGGUAUGGACAGUUCAGAUUCGUAGGAAGACCUGGUUGUAUGUUCAAAACAUGAAGGCUACCGUGUGUAUACAUCAGAUGAGGCACACAAUCAUUCGGGAUUAUCUGUUGAAAAACAUAGUAAUAACUUCGUAGUUAGCAAUGAUAUGAUGUACUAGUUUUAGAAGUGUGCAAAAAGAUGCACGGAUGUCGUAAUAGUAAAAAAUCUUACCAGGGUAUCUCCAUGGUAGUUACCAUAGUUCAACACGUGCACUAGUGGCACGUAUUGACCAUAAUGUUGAGGAGUUCGAUUGUAGACAUUGUAAUUCUCAAGAUCAGUAUAAAAUGCGACCAGAUGAUUUUUCUCUUGAUAAGUUAGUUCGGAGCCUUCGGUGUAGUAGGUUCUGUCUACCAUCUUCCGCACAUUCUUUGAAGAAUGAAAAUAAGCUGUCAAUGGAGAAUAAGUUGUCAACUAUUUUAAAAUAAACAAUAUAAAUUACUUAAUAACUAUGUUAAGCUCACAUGGGGGAAGAAUUGGAGGUGUAUCCACAAGGACGAAAAUCGUAGGUCUCUCUUGCUCGAUUGUAGGAUCACCAAGAUCCAUGGUAACAAGCAUACCCUCAUCAAAACCAUACAUCUUGCAAAGUGCUUCCCAAUUUUUGCAACCAAAAUGGUUACACUCUGAGCAUUGUACAGCUUUACUUGAAAAUCCACACCAUGAUGGGUACUUAGGAUAAUUUUUUUGGUUUCGAAACUUUCAUGGUCUUCAAUCCUCUCCAAGACAUAGCGUCUUGCAAAGCAUGGGAUAAACUAGUCGAAUUGGAAAAGAUGAAAAAUAUUGUCAUGAUUAAAAUAGUUGAAGUCAUGAGUAAUUACGAAAAAAACUAUUUCGUCGGUUGCGUACCGUAUGAACAUCGAAGGUCUCCUCGAGCUUAAUGCUGAAGCGACGAUCUUCGUCCAGCUCAAUGAACCUGUCGCAGAUACCUCGGUCGUCGUGGCACCAGUCGCACUCCCCCGGGCGGUUUUCAUCGUCCGAGUAUGACAUUUCCGGCCUAUGUUCAUAAUUCAAAUAUUAAACUAGAUUAUUAAUCACGGGUUGACUAUCGGUGAUGUACGUAGCUCCUCCUUUCAUUCCCAAGUGCAUUAUUACAUCAAAUUGUCUAGCACACGGGAAUGAAGGAAAACUUAUCCAAUAUGAGCAUUCAGUAAGCAAAACUAAAUCAUAAAAUAAGCAAAACCAAAUCAUAAAAUAAAGUAGUAUUCAAAUUAGCAUGCAUUCAAUAAUUAUAAGCAAAAGUACAUCAUCUCUUGGUGUCCGUACAUCAUCGAAUAUUAUCACUAAUAUAGCAUCACUAACACAACUAGAACCGUAGCGCUCGACGGGUAUCGACGCGGGCGGUGGACACCCGAAGAUAAGGAACCAUCACAGGAUCAUAGCUCCAGUGAGAUCCCUGGAGAACCUGCCCUCCAAUGCAACCAUGUAGCGACGGACGUGCUCAUCCUCCUCGCUGACACGGUGACGUACCACCUCCGUAGUAGAACAUGAGCCCCUGGACGAAGGGAUGAAGUGGGAAGCCCAGUCCGCGGAGGAAAUGGGGAAGAAAUACUACCCUCUCAUGGGGGCUGGGGGUGGGGAUGAGCUCUCCCUCGUCGGGGAGCCGGUGCGCGAUGUUGCUGGACAAAUAUCCGGCGUCGCGCAGCUUCUGGAUCUGCCCCUCCGUGACGGAGGAGGCCAUCCACUUGCCUCCCGCUCCGGACAUAGUUGGAGAAGGUUGAGGUGAGAAGUGCGGACUUGGGCGCUGGAGCUUGAGUUCGCGGAGAUGGAUAAGCCAAGGAGGAAGAAGGCGCAGGUAAAAGGGUUGGAUCUUUAUCCCCUUAUAUGGGCGGACAAAAACAUGUGUCCCCACCGGCCUGGUAAAACUCGCUUAUCUCCCAAGCGCCGCAAUCAAUGGCGCGGUUGGGUUACCCACGUCCGUAUUGAUGGGAAUCCCGGAAUAAGGGGAACACGAUCUCUGCUUCGACAGGACGUGCCAAGAAAACCGCUUCGCUAAACGCGCUGAGGUGGUACAAUAAGAACAAUUCAAGUAAAGGCUUGCUAGUGGUGUGAUGUCACGCCACAAAACGCGUCAGCAGAUUGAACUGGUGUAAUAUUAUUCUCCCUACGGUGGUACGUGGUAUUUAUUUUUGCAGAGCCGGACACUAUCCUGGUGUUCACAAUCUUCUAUAAAUUAUUCGGAGGAGGAACCCGCCUUGCAAUGCCGAAGACAAUAUGCGUGCCGAACUCGUCGUCAUUGAAGCCUGGUUCAGGGGCUACUGAGGGAGUCCUGGACUAGGGGGUGUCCGGAUAGCUGAACUAUCAUCAUGGGCCGGACUCCAAGACUAUGAAGAUACAAGAUUGAAGACUUCGUCCCGUGUCCGGAUGGGACUUUCUUUGGCGUGGAAGGCAAGCUUGGCGAUACGGAUAUGUAGAUCUCCUACCAUUGUAACCGACUCUGUGUAACCCUAGCCCUCUCCGGUGUCUAUAUAAACCGGAUGGCUUUAGUCCAUAGGACGAACAACAAUCAUACCAUAGGCUAGCUUCUAGGGUUUAGCCUCCUUGAUCUCGUGGUAGAUCCACUCUUGUAACACACAUCAUCAAUAUUAAUCAAGCAGGACGUAGGGUUUUACCUCCAUCAAGAGGGCCCGAACCUGGGUAAAACAUCGUGUCCCUUGUCUCCUGUUACCAUCCGCCUAGACACACAGUUCGGGACCCCCUACCCGAGAUCCGCCGGUUUUGACACCGACAAGGGGUAUUCGUACCGGUUGGCUCCACCAACCGGUACCAAUGGACCCGUCUAAUUUUUUAUUUUCUGCAAUUGUUUUUUAGUGGAUUCUUUCUGCAGCUGUUUUUUUAGUCCCACCUCGCCCAGCGAGAGGCACUCGCAGCUGUUUAUAAGCCCUGAGUGCAGAGACAAUGAAGAAGAGGCUCAAUGCUGAUAGAGGCAAAGGUGUCCCGUCUUUCGAUGAGAUGAUGGAUAUCGCUUUGGUGGAAGUCGACUUUGACGAUCCGACUAUGAACGUGCGAGGACGUCACGCCUUAGCAAUCGCUAAACCAACUCCGAGAGGUUAUUGACCACGCCGGAGCACGAUCAACCUGACCACGAGGGUCUGUUUCCUGCGAGCAAACGAAGAACAAGCAAGAAACUAAGAUUGCAAUCUGGAUAUUGCGAAUAUAAGAUGAAAGCUUUAUUGAUCAAGGUGGGGUUCUGUGACGCCUUUGUCUGGUCGUUGAACACAAACGAAGUACGCGAAGUUGCAGCUAUGGCGAACUUUAAUCUAAACAAAACCCAAAGUCUAAACGGUGCCCUAAGGGCUGUAUAUAUGGAGGAAGAGAGGGGGAAUUUCGUGGCCCUUGGUGGAGGGGUCCGAAAUCAACCCUAUCUCUUGUUUCCCCACACAUACGGACUCUAAAAAUAGCCUAUAUUUAUGUAUUUUGAAAUUACAUGGGUCUGGCCCAAUAAAAAGGUGACGCAGCACCUAUAAUAGCCUCUGGACGAAAUUUAUGAAGUGACAUCUUGUAUAUUUCAUCCAAGGAUUCAUGCACUCGUUAUGGUGGCUUCAAAGACCUGAAAUCAUCACUUGUAACUCUGUUCUUGUUCCCCUUGCGCAUGCCAUCAUCUCCAUGCUUGUUCUUGCUCCAAUGUUCAUCCUUCUCCAAGCUAGGCCCUUCAUUUGUAAGCAAAACAAAUGCAUCCAAUUUAGGCAGCAUCAUAUUCUCAUGAACAUUAGAAUCAUUACCAAGAAACGAAAGUACCUGGUAAUUUAGUUGGCGUGCGCGAGCUCUAGUAAUUGGUCCACUAUGUAUAGCAGCAGGGGUUGUGGGUGUAACAAUGGUAUUGAUGUCCUCAUCAUCCUCCCCUUCUUGAAAUGAAGUCGUCCUCGACGGAAGCUCAUCUUCCUCACCCAAAUAAGGCUUCAAAUCUGCAAUGUUAAAAGUGGGACUAACCCCAAAAUCUGCAGGCAGCUCAAGUUUAUAUGCAUUAUCAUUUAUUUUCUCUAACACCUUAAAGGGACCAUCAGCCUGUGGCAUGAGCUUUGAUUUGCGCAAAUCAGGAAAUCUAUCCUUACGCAAAUGUAACCAAACAAGAUCUCCAGGUGCAAACACAACAUGUUUUCUACCCUUAUCUCCAGCAAGUUUAUAUUUGGCAUUCAUACGCUCAAUGUUUUCCUUAGUUAAAUCAUGCAUUUUUAAAAUCAAUUCAGCACAUUGUUUAGCAUCAAAAUUAACCUUCUCCGAAGAUGGAAGAGGCAACAAAUCAAUAGGUGCAUGAGGUAGGAAACCUUACACAACUUCAAAACGGCACAUCUUAGUAGUAGAAUGCAAUGAACGAUUAUAAGCAAAUUCAAUAUGAGGCAAGCAUUCCUCCCACAUUUUCUUAUUAAUCUUCAAAACAACCCUAAGCAUAGUAGACAAUGUUCUAUUGACUACUUCAGUUUGGCCAUCAGUUUGGGGGUGACAAGUAGUACUAAAAAGCAGUUUAGUCCCCAACUUAGCCCAUAAACAUCUCCAAAAGUGGCUAGGAAAUUUAGUAUCACGAUCUGAAACAAUAGUAUUUGGCACACCAUGCAAGCGAAUAAUUUCACGAAAGAACAAAUCAGCAACAUUAACAGCAUCAUCGCUUUUAUGACAUGGUAUAAAGUGUGCCAUUUUCGAGAAUCUAUCCACGACAACAAAUAUGCUAUCCCUCCCCUUCUUUGUUCGAGGUAAACCUAAAACAAAGUCCAUAGAUAUAUCCUCCCAAGGAACACUAGGUACAGGCAAAGGCAUAUAUAAACCAUGAGGAUUGAGUCGUGACUUAGCUUUUUGACAUGUAGUGCAGCGAGCAAUAAAACGCUCAACAUCCUGUCUCAUCUUUGGCCAAAAGAAAUGUGUAGCAAGUACGUCCUCCGUCUUCUUCACGCCAAAGUGUCCCAUUAAUCCUCCUCCAUGCGCCUCCUGCAACAACAAAAGACGAACGGAGCUAGCUGGAAUGCAUAGCUUGUUAGCACGAAACACAAAUCCAUCGUUAACGGCAAACUUGUUCCACAUUCUUCCUUCUUUACAAUUCUGCAUUACAUCUUUAAAAUCAGCAUCAUGCACAUAUUGAUCUUUGAUGGUCUCCAAACCAAAUAUUUUGAAGUCAAGUUGUGAAAGCAUAGUAUAGCGACGAGACAAUGCAUCAGCAAUAACAUUUUCUUUUCCCUUCUUGUGUUUAAUGACAUAAGGGAAAGUCUCAAUGAAUUCAACCCAUUUAGCAUGUCUACGAUUCAGUUUAGCUUGACUUUUAGUAUGUUUCAAAGAUUCAUGAUCAGAAUGUAUAACAAAUUCUUUGGGCCAUAAAUAAUGUUGCCAUGUUUCUAAAGUCCGAACAAGAGCAUAUAAUUCUUUAUCAUAAGUAGAAUAAUUCAGACUAGGUCCACUCAAUUUUUCAGAAAAGUAUGCAACAGGUUUGCCAUCUUGUAAUAACACACCUCGUAAUCCAAUUCCACUAGCAUCACAUUCAAGCUCAAAAGUCUUAUUAAAAUCAGGAAGUUGGAGUAAAGGAGCAUGUGUCAACUUAUCUUUCAAUACCGAGAAGGCUUCUUCCUGUGCGGUACCCCAAAGAAAAGGUACAUCUUUCUUUGUAAGCUCAUUGAGAGGUGUAGCAAUGGUGCUGAAAUCUCUCACAAAACGCCUAUAGAAUCCAGCGAGGCCAAGAAAACUCCUCACUUGUGUGACCGUUUUGGGCUGCGGCCAACUCUCAAUAGCUUCAAUCUUGGCUUUAUCAACUUCAAUUCCCUAUGGAGUAACAACAUAGCCAAGAAAAGAUACUCGGUCGGUGCAAAAGGUGCACUUCCCAAGGUUACCAAACAAACGUGCAUCACGUAGAGCAAUAAAAACAGCACGUAAAUGUUCUAAAUGUUCUUCCAAAGAUCUGCUAUAAAUCAGUAUAUCAUCAAAAUAGACUACCACAAAUCGUCCAAUGAAAGCACGUAAAACUUCGUUCAUUAGUCUCAUGAAAGUACUAGGCGCAUUAGUUAACCCAAAAGGCAUGACUAACCACUCAUAUAAUCCAAACUUAGUUUUAAAUGCUGUUUUCCAUUCAUCCCCCAAUUUCAUACGAAUUUGAUGGUAUCCACUACGCAAAUCAACUUUGGAGAAUAUUGUAGAGCCACUCAAUUCAUCAAGCAUAUCAUCUAGCCUAGGAAUAGGAUGACGAUAACGAAUAGUAAUAUUAUUAAUGCCUCUACAAUCAAUACACAUACGUGAUGUACCAUCCUUUUUCGGCACUAGAAUAAUAGGAACAGCACAAGGACUAAGGGAUUCGCGUAUAUAACCUUUGUCGAGAAGCUCUUGUACUUGACGCAUAAUCUCCUUCGUCUCCUCUGGAUUGGUACGGUAUGGCGCACGGUUUGGUAGUGAAGCACCGGGAAUUAAGUCAAUCUGAUGCUCAAUCCCUCGAAUAGGUGGUAAUCCUGGUGGCACGUCUUGUGGAAAGACGUCAGCGAACUCCUGCAAAAUGUUAGUGAUAGCAGGAGGCAAAGAGGAAGGCACGUCCUCGAAUGAAAAUAAUGCCUCUUUGCACACAAAAGCAUAGCAAACAGAUUUGCUGAAAUCUAGCUCAUCAAUAUCAGAUUUGGUGGCAAAUAAACAUGCACUUUUCAAUUUAAUUUCAGAAGCAACACUAGAUGGUUUAUGAUUAGGCUUCAUUUGUUGCUCAAAUUCUUUUGCCACAAUCUGAUUUUCAUUCUUAUUCUUCUCCUGUUUUGCUUUAUUAGCUCUAUUAAUAUCAUCUUUCAAAAUAGAAUCAGGAGUCAUGGGAAGCAAAGUAAUAUUUUUAUCCUUAUGAACAAGAGUAUACUGAUUGUUUCUAUCAUGGUGUACAAUUUUUUUAUCAAAUUGCCAUGGUCUACCAAGUAAUAAGGAACAUGCUUGCAUAGGUACCACAUCACAAUCAACAUAAUCAACAUAUGUAGAGAUACUAAAAUGCACACGAACAGUACGUGUUACCUUAACCUUACCGCUGUUAUUGAACCAUUGGAUGUAGUAAGGAUGUGGAUGUGGUCUUGUGGUGAGAGAAAGCUUCUCCACCAUCUCCAUGCUAGCCAAGUUGUUGCAGCUCCCUCCAUCUAUGAUGACGCGCACAAAACGUUCUUUCACAACUCCCUUGGUAUGGAACAAAUUGUGCCUCUGAUUUUGCUCAGCUUGUGUGACCUGCACACUCAAAACACGUUGAGCAACUAAACAUUCAUACCUGUCAGCGUCUUCAGGAGCCAUGUAUUGCGUCUCAUGAUCAGAAUCAUCUCCACCAUGUUCUUCACGUGUAAUAAGAGCCAAAGUCUCCUCAUCAUAGUCACUAGCGGACUCAUAUCCACCAUCCUCGGUAGCAAUCAUCACACGCGGAGAUUUGCAUUCUCUCGCAUAAUGACCUCCUCCCUUACAACGACGACAAAUAAUAUCACUUGUGUGCCCUGUUGAUGCCAUGGAAGAAGAAGAACUCUGUGCAGGCCCAGCAGGUGCGCUCUUGGCAGAUAAUGGUGGUUGUGCCUGUUUUCUUGUAUCACGACUGGAGGAGGCACCUGAUUGAGGUGCUGGUGCAGUUGAAGUAGAAGAUGCACGCAGUAUCCAUGAUGAAGGUCGGCCUGCAGAAAAGUUAGUUCGCGUCAAUGCUUGUCGAUCCUGCACUUCACGUUCAGCUUUACAAGCAAGAUGGAAUAAACGAGUGAUAUUAGUAUACUCCUUAUAGUCUAGAAUGGUCUGAAUCUCUCUAUUUAAUCCACCCAGAAAACGUGCAAGCAUAGCUUCAUUCUCCUCAACAAUACCACAUCUAAUCAUGCCAGUUUGUAAUUCCUGAUAAUAUUCUUCUACAGAAUUUUUCCCUUGUCUUAAGCGCUGUAAUUUUUGAAGCAAUUCACGUUGAUAAUAUGGUGGAACCCAACGAGUACGCAUAGCAGUUUUCAAAGCAGCCCAAGUAGUUGGAAUAGGAUAUAAUCUACAAUGUUCAGACCACCAUACACAUGCAAAAUUAGUGAAAGCACAAACAGCAGCGGCAACCCGUCUCUCCUCGGGAUAUUGUAAACAUGUAAAUCGUUGUUCAGUUUCUAACUCCCAAGUAAGAUAUAUAUCAGGAACAUAUCUACCCUCGAAAGGUGGAAUAUUCAAUUUCAGUUUAGGAAGAUGGUCAUGAUCUCGCACCUGAGGGAAAGCCCUACCAUUGUGAUUAUUUGCAUGUGGACGACCUGGUGGUUGUGGUGCAGGUGGUUGCACGUAGUUCUGAUUUUGAGCAACCUCAUCCUCGUAAUCUCCCACAUAAUCAUCCUCCUCCGCAUCAGCAGCAGGAGCCACAGAAGUAUCAACAGCAGCACCAACAAUUUGGCCAAACGCAAGAGGAACACGGCUCGCUCGGCGGAGGUCUGUUUCAUGAUGUGGAGGUAGUCGUUGUUGUUGUUGUUGGAGAGGUGCGUUAGGUGCAGCGGGUGGUGGUGGUGGAAGACGCACGAGCAAUUCAUUAAACUUGUUAUCGAGCUUUGUUUCGAACAUCUUCUCCAUGCCAUCUAUCUUCUCCAUGGCCUCCUCAAAUCUGUUUAGCACAUCUUGCACCUGUCCACUCAUCAUUUGCUGAAAUUUAUCAUGCAAAUCCUUAUUCGUCAUGUUCUCCCAGUCAGUCUCGUCGGCUCGUGAUCCUGGCAUGGUUAGCAGCAAUAGAAACACACAAGAAUAUGAUCCUACAGACUACUAACAAGAGGUGGUGGUGGGUGUCACAAAUCCGUCAAGCAAAUCUCAAAUUCUUACCAGUUCUUACCCAGCAGUAGGCGGUGAUCGGCAACCGUUGUAGUCAAAAACUCUCAAAGCUUGGAUAGAGCGAUUACCAGGGAGAGUCAAACGCACGACGUAGAUGUAUGUGGAGCUGGGAAGGCUUAUAAUAUGGUAGCAAAAAGGGUCAGCAAUAAUCAAUUCAGAGAUACAAAGUUGAAUAAACGCUCAACGACGGUACUGUGCUAGUCCUAGGCUAGACUGUGCUAGAGACGCGAGCCUAGAACACCAACAAAAUCACGGCGCGACACGUAAACAAGGGAAAAGCACAGUCUGGAUUUUUUUUCGCUCAUUUUUUUGCGCUGUUUUUUUUUGCAAUGUUUUUUUUUGCGAAAAAUCACUAUAAUGGCGAGUGUCUCAAAACUCUUCCUAGGUCAAACUGACAGGAUGGGCACGAAAUUUUUUCGACCAAAUUUUUUUUUCGACUGCCCGGACCCAAAAACUGGAAACGGGUCAAAAAAAACUUCCUAUAAUGGCACCUGUCUCAAAACACUCAAAAACACCUAAAAAUAGGAUAGCCAGAAUUUUUUUCGAAAAAUGCGUUUUCGAAAAAUUUUGGGCCUAAACGGAGGGUGGUUUCCGGACUCUUUUUUUUUCGAAACCUACUCCGGCAAGGAAACACGAAUCGGAAUCUAGAUGGAUCUCGAAAAUAAACCUAAUAUGACAAGAACUCGGAUUGGUGGUGGAUAUAUGGUGGUAGAUGGCAGCGGUGGUGGUAUAUGACAGCGGUGGUGGUAUAUGGAUACGGAUUCGAAGCGGUGGCGGAUAAGCGGUGGUGGUAGAUCGCAGGGGCGAUGAUGAUGGUGCGGCGACGGCGUGACAACUUAUGACCAGAACUCGAAACUCUAAAAGACUAGACUCUAAGACCAGCAACUAGACACGAUGAUGCAACCGCAAAUUCAACAAAGCAAAACCCUAAAAAGAUUAUGCAAAGGCUCAGAUUGAUUCGGAUAUGAUGAACUAACCCUAAUUUUUUUGUGGCUUUUUCGUGGACUGUAGGUAUGAAGAACAGACUCGAUCUAAACUACGAAAAACUGUAAAAUCUCACUGAGCAACCUAGAAAUCUGAUACCACUUGAUAGAGGCAAAGGUGUCCCGUCUUUCGAUGAGAUGAUGGAUAUCGCUUUGGUGGAAGUCGACUUUGACGAUCCGACUAUGAACGUGCGAGGACGUCGCGCCUUAGCAAUCGCUAAACCAACUCCAAGAGAUUAUUGACCACGCCGGAGCACGAUCAACCUGACCAUGAGGGUCUGUUUCCUGCGAGCAAACGAAGAACAAGCAAGAAACUAAGAUUGCAAUCUGGAUAUUGCGAAUAUAAGAUGAAAGCUUUAUUGAUCAAGGUGGGGUUCUGUGACGCCUUUGUCUGGUCGUUGAACACAAACGAAGUACGCGAAGUUGCAGCUAUGGCGAACUUUAAUCUAAACAAAACCCAAAGUCUAAACGGUGCCCUAAGGGCUGUAUAUAUGGAGGAAGAGAGGGGGAAUUUCGUGGCCCUUGGUGGAGGGGUCCGAAAUCAACCCUAUCUCUUGUUUCCCCACACAUACGGACUCUAAAAAUAGUCUAUACUUAUGUAUUUCGAAAUUACAUGGGCCUGGCCCAAUAAAAAGGUGACGCAGCACCUAUAAUAGCCUCUAGACGAAAUUUAUGAAGUGACAUCUUGUAUAUUUCGUCCAAGGCUUCAUGCACUCGUUAUGGUGGCUUCAAAGACCUGAAAUCAUCACUUGUAACUCUGUUCUUGUUCCCCUUGCGCAUGCCAUCAUCUCCAUGCUUGUAACUUUACUUAAAAAAUGAGCAUAGAUGCUUAUUUUUAAUGACUUAUUACAAUUCAGAAAAAAUAGAAAAAAAAUAAAUAUAGCAGAAAAGAAAAAAAACUAUAUAAAAAACUACUCAAAAAUAAAUAGAAAAACAAUAGUUGUGAUUAACUUAACUAAAAAAUGAGUAUAGAUGCUUAUUUUUAAUGACUUAUUACAACUCAGAAAUAAAAAUAAAAAAAUAAAUAUAGCGGAAAAGAAAAAAAACUAUAUAAAAAACUGCUCAGAAAUGAGUAUAGAUGCGCUUAUAGAGAAAAUUCAACCUAAAUUCAUAAUGAAUUUCUACUAAUUUCAGAGAAAUUCAUAUGAAUUUAGAUUAAAUUUCCUGUAUAAGGGCAUCUAUUUUGAUUUUGAGAGGAGCUCAACAAAGGGAGAGAGGGAGGGGCUUAUAAACCGGUCUGAUUCCCCUUCGGUUGGCGAAGUGGGACUAAACUCUGACCGCAACGAGGGCCAACCCUUUAGUCCCAGUUGGUGGCUUGAACCGGGACUAAAGGGCAGACUUUGGUCCCGGUUCGUCCCACCAACUGGGACCAAUGAUGGUGGGCCAGGAGCGAGGCGCAUUGGUCCCGGUUCGUCCAACCAACCGGGACCAAAAGGUCUAGACGAAUCGGGACCAAUGGCCCACGUGGCCCGGCCGGCCCCCGGGGCUCACGAACCGGGUCCAAUGCCCCCAUUGGUCCCGGUUCUGGGUUGAACCGGGACUAAUGGGCUGACCUGGCCUGGACCAUUGCCCCCUUUUCUACUAGUGCUUGGUUGAGACCAAGCCAGCUCUCCAGGAGGCCGUGACACGAGCGUGCGCGGCCCUCCUCCAUCCAACAAUGACCAUUGUUGACCUGGGCUCCUCUUCAGGCGAGAACACGCUCCUCUUCGUCUCCAAUGUGAUCGAACCGGUCAGCCACCAUCUUCAGAAGCUCGGUGGCCAUACCGCCGAGCUCCAGUUCGUUCUCAACGAUUUACCAAGCAAUGACUUCAACCGCGUCUUCCGAUCGGUUCAACGGUUCAAGAACUCGAUUGGUAUGGGUGGUCACAAGGGAGAGGAGAUACCUGCUUUCUUCAUCGCCGGGUUGCCGAGCUCCUACUACACGAGGCUUCUGCCUCACAACAGUGUUCAUCUCUUUCACUCGUCGUAUUGCCUGCAUUGGCGCUCUCAGGUACAUGCCACCACUCGUCGUGAGCAAUUCCAUGACCAACAACUGAAAAUAUGAUUAAUUAUUUUUUCUAUACCUUGGUUUUUUUUCUUGUUGGCAAUCUUCUCGGAAAGCUCAAACAAAUUGCAUAAGUAAUUGUGGUAUUGCAUUAUGAGUUGUCCCAUGUGCACGUGUGCUAUACAUAAGAAAAGAUCUUGACAUGAGACAUGACAACCGGAAGAAGUGGUGCAUAGAAGCACUAAUGAUGGAUGUUCGUUUACAUAAUUCUUCUCUAAAUUUUAAGGAGUGCCUUAUUAAUAUUAAUCCUUUCGAAUAUAUAUACCGAGAGAAAAGAAAAUGGAAGUCUAUUUUUACGCGUGUGCUUGCUUGCUUGCUUGUGAUAAUGCCAACAGAUAGCUGAUAUGCAAUGCCCAGUCGACAGUCUAGCUUGAAGUGCACCAAUUUUUUAUUCAGGUCUCCCUGAUUUUUGAUUUUUAAGGCCGCCACUUGGAACCUCUGGAUUCCAUCAUAUUCUAAAAAAACCUCUGGAUUUCAUUAAGUUGGUUCACUUUUUUCAUUCUAUCUUCUGUCCGGUCACUAAUCAGGUGCUCUCAGAGGUUAUUUAGCAUGAAGAAUGGAGAGGUCACUUUCAUCCGUUCUGUCCACGGCUAUCAUCCAAACAACGCUCAAGUUGCAAUCACACAAAACAUGAGGGGAAAGGGGAGAGGCAGCCUAUUCUUAAUUAGUACUCCUUUCGUCCGGAAACACUUGUUAAUAAAAUAAAUGUAUCUAGACGUAAUUUAGUCAUAGAUACAUCCAUUUUUACCGAUUUCUCCGACAAGCAUUUUUAGACGGAGGGAGUAGUACGUGGGUGGACGAGCAUUUACCGUAUAUGGAAUAAGCCUCUGGUCAGGAAACGACCGCGCGGCCAGGUUCGUGAGCGUACACGUAUGAACAAUGAAUUGCAACCACUCCUACUCCAUCUCCUCCUCUACAACACCUAGAGGCCAGGCUUGCUGCUUAGUGGCUGGCAGCCAUGAGGAUGGAGCAUGACUUCCAUAUGGCCGAAGGAGAAGACGAGAACAGCUACGCCAAGAACUCAAGGCUUCAGGUUUCAUACUGUAUAUAUCUUCUCACGUGCUCUUUUCAUUUCUUUUUACUCCACGUAUAAAAUUUGGUCAAAGUAAAACUACACAAAGUUUGAUCAAAUUUAUAUAAAAAAGGUGAACAUCUAUAAUACUAAAACUAUAUAGUAUGAAAAUACGUUUCAUGGUGCAUCUGAUAAUAUUGAUUUCAUAUCAUGAAUGAUAAUAUUUCUUUAUAAAGUUAGUCAAAUUUUACAAUGCUCGACUUUUACCGAACUUUAUAUGCAGACUAAAAGAAAUGGAAGGAGUAGUAUCUUCCCUUGCAAUCCUAAUUUGAUUGCUGGAUUCAGCUGCAAUUGUUCAUAAAGAUUUCCCUUUCCGCCGUUUAUCUUAGGAAAAUGCCUUGGCUGAGACCAAGCCAGCUCUCCAGGAGGCCGUGACACGAGCGUACGCGGCUCUCCUCCAUCCAACAAUGACCAUCGUUGACCUGGGCUGCUCUUCAGGCGAGAACACGCUCCUCUUCGUCUCCAAUGUGAUCGAAGCGGUCAGCCACCAUCUUGAGAAGCUCGGUGGCCGUCCCGCCGAGCUCCAGUUCUUUCUCAACGAUUUACCAGGAAAUGACUUCAACCGCGUCUUCCGAUCGGUUCAACGGUUCAAGAACUCGAUUGGUAUGGGUCGUCGCAAGGGAGAGGAGAUACCUGCUUUCUUCAUCGCCGGGUUGCCGAGCUCCUACUACACGAGGCUUCUGCCUCGCAGCAGUGUUCAUCUCUUUCACUCGUCGUAUUGCCUGCAUUGGCGCUCUCGGGUACAUGCCACUACUAACAAACACACUCAUUUGCACAUUUUGCUGCCAGAAAAGAAAAAACUGCUUGCAAUUUUUAUACUUUAAUCAUCCACAUCUCUCUACUUAAUACGCAAAAGUUGGUCAAUUGAUGAAGCCAACUUGACUACUCAAAAUAAUGUCAAUUUACAUAAGAACCUCUAUAAAAAAAUGCUAUAUGUUAUACACAGCUUCCCCAUGGAUUAGAGGGCAAGAAAAGACCAUAUCUCAACAAAGGAAACAUCUACAUUGGGAUGACUACCCCACCAUCGGUGGUAAAAAUGUACCAAGUGCAGUUUGAGAAGGACAUGUUGUUGUUCCUCCGGCUGCGACAUGAAGAACUAGUUGCAGGCGGACAGAUGAUGCUCACAUUUCUAGGGAGGAAACAUGGCGAUGCCUACAGCGGAGGUCUCUGCCGUCUACUCGGGCUACUUUCACAGUCUGUGCAAUCACUUGUUGACGAGGUACGCGAGGAUAUAGUAUAUUUGUGGCAUUUAUAUUUCAAGACUCUAAACUGUUGCUAAAUCAUACUGGUAAUUACAGGGCCUCGUGGAGAAGGAAAAGCUCGACUCCUUUAAUCUACCUUUGUACGGCCCAUCGAUGGAAGAAGUCAAAGCAAUCGUCGAACAAAGCCAGCAGUUUCGCAUGAAUCAUAACAAGCUGUUCGAGACCAACUGGGAUCCUUACGACGAUUCGCAAGGCAAUGAUGUGCGCAACAGUGCCCAAAGUGGCAUAAAUUCCUCCAAGAGCUUGAGGGCAGUGAUGGAGCCCCUAUUUGCAAGCCAUUUCGGCGAAUCCGUCCUCGAUGAGCUCUUCAAAAAAUUUGCAUACUACGUCGAGGUGCACCUGGACAAGGAGAAGACCAAGUACUCCGUCAUUACUCUGUCGUUAACAAGGAUUUGAGGCAUAUGUGAUUGUUUCAUAUUUGCUUGCAAUUUAUGUAUUUACCAGCUCCCUUGAUAAUAAAAUUAUGUUUAUCUACAUGAUGCAUCCACUUGGACACCCAACUCAGGUACUUCCACAACAAAAUCUUUUCUUUCAUUUUUGGAUUCUCGUAUUUCUUUUACCUUAAAGAACAUUGGAGUCACUACGUAAAGAAUGAUGUUGAUGUGGGUUUGCCGGCCGGGGUGUUCAAACAUAUGGAGAUAAACCGUUUAAAGGUUUAUCCUAUAUGCCCGAGCACCCUACCUAACCCCCGAUAUCGAGGAGGAGGAGAGGCAGAUGCUCUAUAUGAUGGUACACUUCUCUUUUAUUUAGUUGGUGAGGUCAUAGAGGUUGGAUUGUGUUGGCGUCUUGGAUAUGGGGGUAUCUAUUGGGGAUCGUUGCAGAAAAUAAAAAAUUUCUACGCAUCACCAAGAUCAAUCUAUGGAGCAACUAGCAACGAGAGAGAGGGGAGUGCAUCUUCAUACCCUUGAAGACCGUGAGACAGAAGCGUUACAAGAACGCAGAUGAGGGAGUCGUACUCGAAGCGAUUCAGAUCGCAGUGGAUUCCGAUCUUAGCGCCGAACAACGGCACCUCCGCGUUCAACACACGUGCAGCCCAGUGACGUCUCCCGCGCCUUGAUCCAGCAAGGAGGAGGGAGAGGUUGAGGAAGAGGGGCUCCAACAGCAGCACGACGGCGUGGUGGUGAUGGAGUGGCAGUACUCCGGCAGGGCUUCGCCAAGCUCUUGCGGAGGAGGAGAGGUAUUGGGGAGGGGAGGGGUUGCGCCUUAGAUGUGGUGCUGCAGCCCUCCCCUCGCCCCUCUAUUUAUAGGAGAAGGGCGAAGGGGGCCGGCCCCCUCUAGAUGAGAUCUAGAGGGGGGGCGGCGGCUAAGGGGAGGGGGCUUGCCCCCCAAGCAAGGGGAGCGCCCCCUUUAGGGUUCCCCCCCCAACCCUAGGCGCAUGGGCCCAAGGGGGGUGGCGCCCAGCCCUCCUAGGGCUGGUUCCCUUCCCUCUGGAGCCCAUGAGGCCCUCCGGGAGAGGUGGCCCCUCCCGGUGGACCCCCGAAACCCCUCCGGUGGCCCCGGUACAAUACCGAUAUGCCCCCGAACAUUUCCGGUGACCGGAUGACAACUUCCCAUAUAUAAAUCUUCACCUCCGGAUCAUUCCAGAACUCCUCGUGACGUCCAGGAUCUCAUCCGGGACUCUGAACAACAUUCGGUAAUCACAUACAAGUCUUCCUAAUAACCCUAGCGUCAUCGAACCUUAAGUGUGUAGACCCUACGGGUUCGGCAAUCACGCAGACAUGACCGAGACAGCUCUCCGGCCAAUAACCAACAGCGGGAUCUGGAUACCCAUGUUGGCUCCCACAUGUUCCACGAUGAUCUCAUCGGAUGAACCACGAUGUCGAGGAUUCGAGUAAUCCCGUAAACAAUUCCCUUUGUCAAUCUGUACGUUACUUGCCCUAGAUUCGAUCGUCGGUAUCCCAAUACCUCGUUCAAUCUCGUUACCGGCAAGUCACUUUACUCGUUACAUAAUGCAUGAUCCCGUGACUAACCAAUUAGUCACAUUGAGCUCAUUAUGAUGAUGCAUUACCGAGUGGGCCCAGAGAUACCUCUCCGUCAUACGGAGUGACAAAUCCCAGCCUCGAUUCAUGCCAACCCAACAGACACUUUCGGAGAUACCUGUAGUGCACCUUUAUAGUCACCCAGUUAUGUUGUGACGUUUGGUACACCCAAAGCACUCCUACGGUAUCCGGGAGUUACACAAUCUCAUGGUCUAAGGAACUGAUACUUUACAUUAGAAAAGCUUUAGCAAACGAACUACACGAUCUUGUGCUAUGCUCAGGAUUGGGUCUUGUCCAUCACAUCAUUCUCCUAAUGAUGUGAUCCCGUUAUCAAUGACAUCCAAUGUCCAUAGUCAGAAAACCAUGACCAUCUGUUGAUCAACGAGCUAGUCAACUAGAGGCUCACUAGGGACAUGUUGUGGUCUAUGUAUUCACACAUGUAUCAUGGUUCCCGAUUAAUACAAUUAUAGCAUGAAUAAUACACAAUUAUCAUGAACAAAGAAAUAUAAUAAUAAUCAUUUUAUUAUUGCAUCUAGGGCAUAUUUCCAAUAGUAUCCAGACUUUCCUGCCUUCGGCUUGUGGCGCGGCUCAUCAGUGGCCCAGUUCGGCUCGUCUACAUCAACCCAGGUUCAAGACCCUCGCGAGGGGCCAAGCCUCGCGGGGCGGAUGGCGCAAGGCCUCCCAGGAGCGGCCUCACCAGACAGGCUCGCGAGGAGGCGGAGAGAUCAAGGAGAGGAUUACCUUGCGAGGUGCACAUAAUGCAAGCCAUGACGAUCGAGACUAGGCGGGCACCGGCCAGCGCAGCGUCCUUAUUUCCCUUUGGUGCUAAGGGGGCAAGCGCAGGCGCGGAGUACCAAGGCAUCAGGCAAAGGUUUCCCUAUCGGUGCAACAAGACCAGGACCAGGAGGACGGCAAGACGGAGGUCACCGUGGAUCCCAAGACGGCGUCAUCGCCAGUGCUUUUGACAGUCAAAGACCACCUUUAGUCAGGAUAGCCUGUACUAGCUGUCCCCCUUCAAAUCCCACCAUUGUGGAAUCCCAUCCCACUCAAUAUUUGGGAAGAGGACCAAGACCUCUAUAAAUAGGACUAGCCACUCCCAAGGCAAGGGGAUCGACCAAUCGAACCCUGACCAGAACCACCCACACCAGCACAAUAACUCCUCCCCUCGUGAGGCAGUUCUUCCCCCUGUACCGUUCCUCAUCAGGCCAAGAGGCAAUCCACACACCACACACUGAAGUAGGGUAUUACACCACAAUGGUGGCCUGAACCAGUAUAAAUCUUGCGUCCCUUUUGUUGUUCAUCUUGCUAGCUUAGAUCCACGGCGUGGCGAGGGAGUAGAUCGGUAGGAGAAAGAUCUCCGCGCGCACCCCAGAGUUCGAACCUUAAGGGUUUUGCCGGAACACGAAAUCUGACAUUUGGUGCACCAGGUAGGGGUGCACCGGAAUCCUCCUUCCCCUGAUCUGCGUUCCACCGCUUCGUCGCAUCCAUGUCAGGUGACCCGAUGACCAACGCCGACCGCUGGGCGACAUGGCCUGGCCAUGUCGUUCCGCCUGCCCAAGGCAACCCCGACCCCGCGCUCCAGGCAGCCCGCGCUCCGCAUAACGCUGCGGGGCACGGGCGACGCGGUCAAACUCCGCUGGCCCUUACUCCACGGCAGAUACGAUCAGCAGCAAGGGCCUCAAGUCAUGCCGCAACCAUGGCACCACACACCCGGCGGGAGCAAGCAAACACGAGGGCCGCGCUCACGGUGGCUCGGGAACUGCUGCGGUGCAGGUUUGGGGGCGUAGAUGUGCUGCUGGAGCGCAUUGCCGAGCUCCUGGAUGCCGCAGCUUUGGGGGCGCAUCCCUUCUGUGUCCAGCUCCCACCCCAAGCCUUGGGUGGAUCGCGCGGCGGGCCCGUCCAUGCUCGCAUGCCCUCAAGCAUGACCCAAGGCUUCGUCAACCCCAGCUCAACCAUCAACUCCGGGCGUCAAGCUACACCAACACCGCCUUCGGUGAGCGAGGGCACGCGCUUCACUGCCUAUAGCCCGGACGGGCUGGUACCCUCUCACCACUAGGACGACGUGCUGGGCCGAGCCACUUGGAGCAUGGCGCGGUACAGUGAAGCCUUCGGGGUAGCGGCCUCGGAGGCUUAUGUGCCCCAUAUGGUGGAUCGGGAGUAUGUGCUAGAAGACGACCACGACUCAUUCCCCGGGCCAGGAUGGGAGGAAGAGGCGCCAGAAGCCUAGCCUAUCCAGGAGCCCCAAGGAAGCCUCACCAACCGCGCCGGCGGCAGCGACUAUCGUGUAUCGCUUAUUACUCAGGAGCAAGCUUAUGCUAACCAUGGGUCGCAGGAAGUUCAGGUCACGAUAGCGGAAGGUUGCCCCAGCUCAGCAGCCUCCCUUCCGCCAGGAGGGGCACACUGGGGGCUGCUGGAGAGGGGCCGGGAGCCAGGCCCCUCCCCAUGAUGUGUGGAGCAAGCUGUUCCUCAGAGGUAGGCCCUCUGUCGGGGAGGCGCCGCAGGUCCUGCACCCGGCAGAGGACCCGUGGUCGUCAGGGGAACCGCUGGCGACCGCUCUACCCCAUUGGCGUCAUCCUUGGUUUCCGGUCACCGUCAAUGGCGGUCGAGUGUGGUGCAAGGCGGGCCCCUCAUCUGGCGAUAUGAAGCAAGGCCGUUACCUGCGAAGAAGGCCCAGUGCCUGUCAAGCUCACCGCCCGUGACACUCUCACGUUAUAAUGAGUUGGGGUUGUACACACCCCGGAGUCUCCGGAGAGCCGCCCUUGGGCCUCGGGGGCUCCCGCCCACGCCCAGUGGCAGCACUUAGCUCCGCGCUGGUGAGAAGACGUCGAAGACUAGACUAGGUGCCGGACGCGGCCUUUGCUUUUUGCUUCUUUCUCUGUUGUCGAGCUUCCCUGCUUUGAAUUUAAGUUGAACUUGAGCUUGAGAUUUGCGUGUGUUCGGGGGGGGGGGGAUGUCUUGUCGCGUUUGUGCGAUUUCUCGUGUUCUGGUUUCUGCCGUACGUGCGAAGUUAGCGUCAGCUGCCUCCCCCUCGCGAGCCCCUCGCGAGCCGGGCUGGGCCAAGCACGCAAGCACUCCGGACCGCGGCUGUCUCUCGCUCUCAGGAGGCUCUCAUCGCAAGACUAACGGAUACCCCUAGAGGGCCCUCAGAAGACUGUGGCCCCCGCAAGCUUGCUCGAGACUUGUCCGGGCUAAAGGUAAACCACGUCAACUAACUCAUCACGGGGUUAGUAGCCCAACACAAGCGCGCGCCCGGUGUUACAUCUACAAGCGUGCAAGUGACGAUCCUUUUACACGAGGGGCUUCCCCUCCCAAAAAUGCUCUCACAACUUUCAGGGUCGCGCCCGAGCUUUUCGUGUGCAGGGAAAGACAACAAGGAUACACAGGGUUAAUCAAACAUAUCGCUCACUGCGUCCUCUAGGUCGCCUCGGGAGGCGUCGCUGGCGCCGCUGCCACCAUCACUAUCAUCAUCAUCGCUGUCGCCAAUGCCAUCUUCACCACCAUUUACCACGUCACCUUCAUCUGCAGCCACGACCACACCAUCAUCAUCAGAGGCAAAGGCCCUAACGAGAGCAUCCAUGUUGUCCUCUACCCACUGCGCCAGGUUGCCUCGGAUGACCAAGGGCACCGGAGCAAUGACGACGUCGAAGUCAAAGUGGGGAUCUUUGUCCUGAAGAUGGCUGAAAACACGGGAGAACGCAUGCCCGAGCAGGACUCAGCUUCUCUCCUUGACAAGUUGGCGAGCUCUGUCGGAACGAUUCUCCAGAUGCGUCACCACAUCAGUGAAGAACCGGAGAUGGCCGGCAUAGUUGGUCACGUGAGGAUGCAGAGCGGCCGCAUCGCAUACAUUGCCCAGGGGUGUGUUGGCCCUAUUCCUGAGCUCCUGGAGCAUGGGGCCGUGUGUGCGCUCCAGCGUCUGCCAUUGGAGAAUCUCUUCUCUGGUCUGCCGCGCAACGGCCUCGGCGUCGUCAACUCACUGUUGGAGGAGGAGCAACUCGGCGCGGGAGGAGGCUAACUCAGUCUGCGCUGAGACUAGGGCGGCUGCGGAGGCCUCCGUGCGCUGCGUCGUCUCAACCAACUUGGACCUGAGGGUGGCAGUCCUGCCUACAGCCUCAGCUUCGAUCAACCCCAGCUUCUGGACGAACUCACGCGCCAGAUCUGCGUGAGCUUCUGCCAUGCGGCGGUCAACCUCUUCCUGGAGCCGAGCCACCCUCGCGCUGACGUCAUCCUCUGCCUGGGUAACCAGGCGCUCCCUCGUCUCCACCGCUCGAGGUCGAGGUUGCGAUCAGCAGACUCCAACAUCAGCCCCUCCUCACGCCUCCGAAGCUCCUCUUCCUCGGCAGGCGUUCCCUUCAGUGAUGCAAGGGCGGCCAGGCGCAACUCCACUUGCUGCUCCAGGGAAGCGCUCCAGGCUUGGAGCUCCCACGCGCGCUUCUCCGCGAUCUUGCACCGCUGGUCUACUUCACGAGCCUUCCCAAUAGCUCGGGAGCAGGCCUCCUACGAGGCUGUGAGAGCCACUUCAGCCUUCACAUUGUCAAGCUCCCGCUGAUGACGCGCGAGGCUGACAGCCACCUUCAGCUUGCGCCACUCCUGAACCAGCCGCAGGCCUUCAGCUUCAAGGCUCGCGUCCAUGUCUGCAAGCUCUCCGCCCAGCUGGCUCAUCGCGUCCAUCGCCUUCCAGAGGAACCCUUGGCGGAUGGCACCACGCUCCCGCACGUGUCUAAGCACAUCAUCAACAUCGUCCCCCACCAUCGGUGAUGGCGGCGGGCUCUGGAGUGGCAUGCCCCCACCCAGCGGGGGGAUGGGGGCUGGCACCCUCGCGAUCGUCGGACGGGCUCCGCAAGGGACCCAGGCCGGCGCAGACCCACCACCAGAAGAAAGGCCCAGGGCCGACCUCAGCCAUUCGGCAUCCACAAUUGGGGAAGGAGCCCUGGGAAGGCUGGUUGAGCCCCGGGUGAGGGCGCGAAGAAAGGAAGGUAGGGGCGCAGAUUCCAGGUGCUCUGCAGGCCGGAUUGCCCCUCCGGACGGACUCGCAUCAGGGGGUGCGUGAAAGCUCGGAAUGCACAAGGCCUGCGGCGCAGGCGAGGCUAGAAGAACUCCCUUGGCAGGCUCCGCAGGUUUGGCAUGAGGGGUCCUAUGGGGUCACAGUCAGGAGAAGAAGCAACGAUGAAAGGACUGCUAGAAUAAGGAACUUACUCAUCUAUGGCGAAGUAUUUCCUGUGCUUCAGCGGUCGGAAGGGGCGCUCACUACCGCUCAAGGACUCCUUCCUCUUGCGGAGGGCGUCGAAGUCCACACAGAACCGACCCAGGCGCGCGGCAUGGGGACCAGCACGCGGUGCAGGUGAGGGAGCGCCCAGGUUUCCAACUUUAGGGGCGCCAAGCUGGGAGGAGCGCUCCGGCACCACUUCUCGAUGACCUAUUGAGGCCGUGGGGGCUCUGGCCUCAGGGGUCGCGGGGCACGUCCCUUCAUCAACAACUGCCUCAGGACGGGCUUCGCAGGCCCCGGGGGAUGGCGNNNNNNNNNNNNNNNNNNNNNNNNNNNNNNNNNNNNNNNNNNNNNNNNNNNNNNNNNNNNNNNNNNNNNNNNNNNNNNNNNNNNNNNNNNNNNNNNNNNNNNNNNNNNNNNNNNNNNNNNNNNNNNNNNNNNNNNNNNNNNNNNNNNNNNNNNNNNNNNNNNNNNNNNNNNNNNNNNNNNNNNNNNNNNNNNNNNNNNNNNNNNNNNNNNNNNNNNNNNNNNNNNNNNNNNNNNNNNNNNNNNNNNNNNNNNNNNNNNNNNNNNNNNNNNNNNNNNNNNNNNNNNNNNNNNNNNNNNNNNNNNNNNNNNNNNNNNNNNNNNUGGUGACCGGGAAAGAGGCCACAACGACGGGAUUCUCGCGAGGCCCCAAGAGAUCAGCCGGGCGCAGCCCCCAUUCGUCCAAGAGAGGCAUCUGCCUCACGAAGUCAGCUCUCCCCGAGCAUAGAUACAGCAGGCUGCCCCCAUGCCGAAUGUCGCCCGGCGCCGGGUCGCCCGCCAAGACCUCCAACAUCUUCUUCAACAUCUCUGGCGCCAGCUCCAUCUCCUGGAGCCUCAUGCGGUUCUGGCGUCCGGUUAGGGUCCACAUAGGCUGGGAGUGACGCUGAAGUGGAGCAAUGCGACGCCGGAGGAACUCUGCCACCACCCGGGGCGCAAUCACGCCAAGAUCCCUCAACCUCCCCAGUCGGAGCCAGACGUAGGCGAGCCGUGGGCUCGCAAGCUCUUCAUGAUCCCAGCCCGGAUUGGGGAUAGCGGGCAAUGUGGGGUGCUCAAGCAGGGGACUAGGCACUCCGACAUCCACAUACAACCACCAUGUCCGGAACCCACUCGUGGAGGGUGGAAGGCUGAAAUCAAUCCCUGAGGCGGCCUUCUUCGCUACGGCCAGGAAGCUCACACACCCCGAGCACUACGAUGGGUCGGUCAGACACAAGGAGAAGAAGUGACGCAAGAGGGCGACGGAAGGAGCAAUACCCACCAUUGCCUCGCAGAAGAAGGCGAAGACAUCAAGAAGGGUAACAGACCGAGGAUCGAGAUGUAUCAUAUGGAUCUGAUAGUGGGAUAGCACUGCAUUGAAAAAGGCGGAGAAAGGAGGGACCAAGCCAGCCCAUAGGGCGUCAACGAAGAACCGAACCUCUGUCACGAUCCUGUCGACAGAAGCGUGGGAUGCAGGCCAAGCCGUCGUCAUUCCGCACUCUUUGAAGCUGGAGGCGAGAGCUGGACGAAGGCGCGGACUCCUUCCCUUUCUCCUUGCUGGUUGGCACCAUGGUAAUGGAGGAGGCAGAACUCGAGUCAGAUUGGAAGCGGAAGCAGAGGCUUGAGGAAGAAGGAAGGCGAAGGAAGCGUUGGGAAGCGGAAACGCCCACGUCCAAUCAAGUCGCCACGCGUCGCCCAAGGCCUCAGGCUGUUGGAGCCCGCGGUGCUCCGCACUUGACCUUUGGCUUUGCCGCUAAGCCAAGUCCGAGCGUGCCUUGGGCCCUGGGGCUACUAUCGGCGUCCUGGAUAUGGGGGUAUCCAGACUUGCCUGCCUUCGGCCUGCGGCGCGGCUCAUCAGUGGCCCAGUUCAGCCCAUCUACAUCAACCCAGGUUCAAGACCCUCGCGAGGGGCCAAGCCUCGCGAGGCGGAUGUGUUGGAAAUAUGCCCUAGAGGCAAUAAUAAAAUGAUUAUUAUUAUAUUUCCUUGUUCAUGAUAAUUGUCUAUUGUUCAUGCUAUAAUUGUAUUAACCGGAAACCGUGAUACAUGUGUGAAUUCAAUACACCACAACAUGUUCCUAGUGAGCCUCUAGUUGACUAGCUCGUUGAUCAACAGAUGGUCAUGGUUUCCUGACUAUGGACAUUGGAUGUCAUUGAUAACGAUAUCACAUCAUUAGGAGAAUGAUGUGAUGGACAAGACCCAAUACUAAGCAUAGCACAAGAUCGUGUAGUUCGUCUGCUAAAGCUUUUCUAAUGUCAAGUAUCAUUUCCUUAGACCAUGAGAUUGUGUAACUCCCGGAUACCGUAAGAGUGCUUUGGGUGUACCAAACGUCACAACGUAACUGGGUGACUAUAAAGGUGCACUACAGGUAUCUCUGAAAGUGUCUGUUGGGUUGGCACGAAUCGAGACUAGGAUUUUUCACUCCGUAUGAUGGAGAGGUAUCUCUGGGCCCACUCGGUAAUGCAUCAUCAUAAUGAGCUCAAUGUGACUAAGUGGUUAGUCACGGGAUCGUGCAUUAUGGAACGAGUAAAGUGACUUGCCGGUAAUGAGAUUGAACGAGGUAUUGGGAUACCGACGAUCGAAUCUUGGGCAAGUAACGUACCGAUUGACAGAGGGAAUUGUAUACGGGAUUACUUGAAUCCUCGACAUCGUGGUUCAUCCGAUGAGAUCAUCAUGGAACAUGUGGGAGCCAACAUGGGUAUCCAGAUCCCGCUGUUGGUUAUUGGCCGGAGAGCUGUCUCGGUCAUGUCUGCGUGAUUCCCGAACCUGUAGGGUCUACACACUUAAGGUUUGAUGACGCUAGGGUUAUUAGAAAGAUUUGUAUGUGAUUACCGAAUGUUGUUUGGAGUCCCGGACGACAUCCCGAAUGUCACGAGGAGUUCCGGAAUGGUCCGGAGGUGAAGAUUUAUAUAUGGGAAGUUGUUAUACGGUCACCGGAAAUAUUCGGGGGGCUUACCGGUAGGGGUUCCGUGGGUCCACCGGGAGGGGCCACCUGUCCCGGAGGGCCUCAUGGGCUAUAGAGGGAAGGGAACCAGCCCCAAGAGGGCUGGGCGCCACCCCCCCUAGGGCCCAUGCGCCUAGGGUUGGGGGGGGGGAACCCGAAAGGGGGGCGCCUCCCAUUGCUUGGGGGGCAAGCCCCCUCCCCCCUUGGCCGUCGCCCCCCUCUAGAUUCCUCUAGAUUCCAUCUAGAGGGGUCGGCCCGCUUCCCCCUUCUCCUAUAAAUAGAGGGGCGAGGAGAGGGCUGCAACACCACAUCCAAGGCACAGCCCCUCCCCUCCCCAUCACCUCUCCUCCUUCGCAAGACCUUGGCAAAGCCCUGCCGGAGAACUACCACUCCAUCACCACCACGCUGUCAUGCUGCUGUUGGAGCCUUCUUCCUCAACCUCUCCCUCCUCCUUGCUGGAUCAAGGCGCGGGAGACGUCACCGGGCUACACGUGUGUUGAACGCGGAGGUGUCAUUGUUCGGCGCUAAGACCGGAAUCCACCGCGAUCUGAAUCGCUUCGAGUACGACUCCUUCAUCCAUGUUCUUGCAACGCUUCCGUCUCGCGAUCUUCAAGGGUAUGAAGAUGCACUCCCCUCUCUCUCGUUGUUAAUUACUCCAUAGAUUGAUCUUGGUGAUGUGUAGAAUUUUUUUAAUUUAUGCAACGAUCCCCAGUAGUGGCAUCAUGAGCUAGGUCUAUGCGUAGUUUCUAUGCACGAGUAGAACACAAGUUUGUUGUGGGCGUCGAUUUUGUCAAUUUACUUGCCACUACUAGUCCUAUCUUGUUUCUGCGGCAUCGUGGGAUGAAGUGGCCUGGACCGACCUUACACGUACGCUUACGUGAGACAGGUUCCACCGACCGACAUGCACUAGUUGCAUAAGGUGGCUAGCGAGUGUCUGUUUCUCCCACUUUAGUCGGAUCGGAUUCGAUGAAAAGGGUCCUUAUGAAGGGUAAAUAGCAAUUGGCAUAUCAUGUUGUGGUUUUGGCAUAGGUAAGAAACAUUCUUGCUAGAAACCUAUAGCAGCCACAUAAAAACUUGCAACAACAAUUAGAGGACGUCUAACUUGUUUUUGCAGCAUAUGUCGUGUGAUGUGAUAUGGCCAAAAAGGAUGUGAUGAAUGAAAUAUAUGUGAUGUAUGGGAUUGAUCAUGUUCUUGUAAUAGGAAUCACGACUUGCAUGUCGAUGAGUAUGACAAUCGGCAGGAGCCAUAGGAGUUGUCUUUAUUUAUUGUAUGACCUGCGUGUCACUGAAUAUCUCCAUGUAAUUACUUUACUUCAUUGCUAAACUGUUAGCCAUAGUAGUAGAAUUAAUAGUUGGCGAGACAACUUCAUGGAGACACGAUGAUGGAGAUCAUGAUGAUGGAGAUCAUGGUGUCAUGCCGGUGACAAUGAUGAUCAUGGCGCCUCGAAGAUGGAGAUCAAAAGGAGCAAAAUGAUAUUGGCCAUAUCAUGUCACUAUUUGAUUGCAUGUGAUGUUUAUCAUGUUUUUGCAUCUUAUUUGCUUAGAACGACAAUAGUAAAUAAGAUGAUCCCUCAUAAUAAUUUCAAGAAAGUGUUUCCCCUAACUGUGCGUCAUUGCGAAAGUUCGUUGUUUCGAAGCACCACGUGAUGAUCGGGUGUGAUAGAUUCUAACAUUCACAUACAACGGGUGUAAGCCAAAUUUACACAUGCAAAACACUUAGGUUGACUUGACGAGCCUAGCAUGUACAGACAUGGCCUCGGAACACAAGAGACCGAAAGGUCGAACAUGAGUUGUAUAGAAGAUACGAUCAAUAUGAAGAUGUUCACUGAUGAUGACUAGUCCGUCUCACGUGAUGAUCGGAUAUGGCCUAGUUGACUCGGAUCAUGUAUCACUUAGAUGACUAGAGGGAUGUCCAUCUGAGUGGGAAUUCAUUAAAUAAUUUGAUUAGAUGAACUUAAUUAUCAUGAACUUAGUCUAAAACUUUUGCAAAAUGUCUUGUAGAUCAAAUGGCCCAUGCUCAUGUCAACCUCAACUUCAACGCGUUCCUAGAGAAAACCAAGCUGAAAGAUGAUGGUAGCAACUAUACGGACUGGGUCCGAAACUUGAGGAUCAUCCUCAUAGCUGCCAAGAAAGCAUAUGUCCUUGAAGCACCACUAGGUGAAGCACCCGUCCCGGCGAAUCCAGACGUUAUGAACGCCUAGCAGUCGCGUAUUGAUGAUUACUCCCUGGUUCAGUGCGGCAUGCUUACAGCUUAGAACCAGGGCUGCAAAAAUGUUUCAAGCAGCACAGAGCAUAUGAGAUGUUCCAAGAGCUGAAAAUGGUUUUCCAAGCUCAUGCCCGGGUCGAGAGAUAUGAAGUCUCCGACAAUUUCUACAGUUGUAAGAUGGAGGAGAAUAGUUCUGUCAGUGAGCACAUACUCAAAAUGUCUGGGUUGCACACAACCGCUUGUCUCAGCUGGACAUUAACCUCCCGGAUGAGGCGGUCAUUGACAGAAUCCUUCAGUCGCUCCCACCUAGAUACAAGAGCUUUGUGAUGAACUAUAAUAUGUAGGGGAUGGUGAAAACCAUUCCUGAGGUAUUUUCAAUGCUGAAAUCAGCGGAGGUGGAGAUCAAAAAGGAACAUCAAGUGUUGAUGGUCAAUAAAACCACUAGUUUCAAGAAAGGCGAGGAUAAGACGAACUUCAUGAGUAAAUUAGUUUUUUUCCCCUAGCGGCGGCUAGGGUUUCACCUCCUUACGGCGAUUCCCCACCAUAAGUCCACCAUAGCCAGCGUCGUCCUGCCGUGAGAUUGCCUCCAUCUAACUCGCGUAGGGUUCCCUACCCGAGCCUUCCCUUCCCUGCUCCGUUUCCAUGGUGCGCACGUUGGAACCUCCGAGUCGCUACCAUGGCGGCGGCAUCAGAUGCAUUUUCUUCAAUGAACCUCGGGUCCCAAGGGAGAGAUGACGAUCUCGGUGACUUCUUCGAUAAGUUGGACCUCCAUGAGGAGGAGUUUGAUGAUGUUGUAGUUGAAGAGGAAGCUCCAGAGCUGCUGGAGGAGAUUCGAUGGGUAGCCCUAGCUAGGGUUCAGACCAUGAAAAAUUUCAACCAAUCGGCCUUCUACAAAGACAUGCGGGCGGCGUGGAAUUGUUCACAGGUGGUUCGUUUCUGGCCAAUUGGCCCUAAUAUGUUUGUGGUUCAAGUUUAUUGUCUUGGUGAUUGGGAUUGCAUCAUGGGACAAGUACCGUGGCUGUUCUGCAACAUGGCGGUUCUGUUAGUGCCAUAUGAUGGGUUCACAAACUCUGAAGAGGUGCCAAUAGAGUACAUGCCUAUCUGGCUCCAGAUCCAUAAGCUACCGGACGAGUAUUGCAGACAUGAUCUGAUUGUCAAGUUGCUCCGUUCUGCGGGAGAGGUCCUUGAAACCAGGCUAAAUGGUAACUCCAGAGGGGAUUACGUCCGGGUCAGAGUGAAACAUGACAUCAAGAAGCCUCUCACCAAAUUUGUGAGCAUUGUCAAGGGUGAAGCACGUAAGGUUUAUGCAGUAAGAUAUGAAAAGCUGGCAAGAUUCUGUAGUGCAUGUGGUAUCAUUGGCCAUGGGCAUAAGGAGUGUGGUAAUGGUGUGUUUGCUGAGAAGGAUCUCAAGUUUGGUGAUUACCUCUAUGCUGACCCUCCGGCACAAGCUCGCUCGGACUGGGAAGCAAGGAGGGGAGAGAAGAAGACUUACACUGAACCACCGGUUUCUAAGUCUGCUGCGGGCAAGGGAGAAGUCAGGAUGGAUGGAGAGCUGAAGGAUACGGCAUCUAGCCCUAUAAAAACUUCCCUGUCUCGUGAUAUAGAAUUGGAUAGAUCUUCUCGUAAGAGUCUCAACAUGGAUGGUGGCACAGAAACACUUGGGACAACUACACCCUCUGCUGCGCACAGGGAAGUAUUGUUGCUUACAGACGGGAAAGGUGAUGGAGAACCGGAAUCGCCUACUAAUAGUUCCGGAAGCAAAUGUGCAAAACGAGAUGGUGAGACCUCAAACUCAGAGAAAAUUUCGGUGGGCUCCCAGGAGGAGCGCCGCCAGUCCCAAUGAGUCACCUCUUUUGGAACUGUCGGGGGGCGGGGAACCGCCGGACAGUUCAUGAAGUUGGGGCUCUUGUAAAAGCCCAUUCCCCAAGCUUGGUCUUUCUCGCUGAAACGAGACAGACAAGUGUUAAAGUUGAAAGAAUGAAGUGGAAAUUAGGUCUUAAAGGAUUCUGCGGGGUGGAUUGUGAGGGCCGAGGCGGUGGACUAGCAUUGUUUUGGGAUGAAUCCCUCCAGGUGACAGUGAUGUAUUCCUGUAGAAGAUACAUUGAUGGGAGUGUUCUACAUCAAGGAUCCGGGAAAACUUGGAGGUCCACCUUUGUCUAUGGGGAACCACGUGUGGAACAUCGGCAGCGCAUGUGGGAUCACCUAGUCAGAUUAAAAGGGGUCUCAGACCUACCUUGGGUUGUUUGUGGUGAUUUUAAUGAAGCUCUUUGGCAACAUGAACACUUCUUGAGAACCAGUAGAGGAGAGAGCCAGAUGGAGGCGUUUAGAGAUACUCUCUUUGUGUGCGAAUUGAUUGACUUGGGGUUCUUAGGUGCUCCAUAUACAUAUGAUAAUGGCCAGCUUGGACAGGGCAACGUUCGAGUUUGGUUAGAUCGAGCAUGUGCGUCUGAUGAUUGGAGGGAGUUGUUUCCGUUUUUGAGGGUGCAUCACCUGGUUUCCCCUCGGUCGGACCAUUGUCCCAUUAUACUUUGCCUCGAUGAUACUGAAGAUCACCGUCGGAAGGGGUCGCCUAAAUAUGAGAUCAUGUGGGAACGUGACAAAAAACUGCCAAAGAUAAUUUGAAAGGCGUGGGAUCGGUCUCGGCCUGUGGGCGACUUGGGGAACGUAGCUACAUCCCUGAAGUCUGUUAUGGCUGAUCUUCGCAAGUGGAGUAAAGAAAAUUUUGGCCAAGUAGUGAAACAAAUUGAGGAUCUUCGGAAUGAACUGGAAAACUUACAGCUAAACAACUCGGACCGUCUCUUGAUCAAACAAAAGAUGGAAAAGCUGGAUGAGCUACUCUACCAUGAGGAGAUGAUGUGGCUGCAAAGGAGUCGUAUUGUUUGGUUGAAGGAGGGUGACCGCAAUACAAACUAUUUUCACCGGCAGGCAGUUUGGCGUGCUAGGAGGAAUAACAUACGGAGGCUAAUGAAACUUGACGGCUCGUGGUGUAAUUCUCCCUCGGAGAUGGAGCGUAUGGCCGCCUCGUACUUCAAGGAGGUAUAUACGAAAGAUCCCACUGUAACUCCGGAUGCAGUUCUAGAUGUUCUUGAGCCGAGGGUUACGAAUGAGAUGAAUGACCGUCUCCUCGCGCCUUUCUCUGGUGAUGAAAUAUCUGAUGCUUUGUUCCAAAUCGGACCCUUAAAGGCGCCGGGUCCGUAUGGUUUCCCGUCCCGGUUUUAUCAGAGGAACUGGGGUUGUUUGAAAGAGGAAAUCAUAGCUGUUGUUCGACUGUUUUUUGUCACAGGCCAUAUGCUAGAAGGGGUCAACGAUACUUGUAUUGUACUGAUUCCCAAAGUUCAACACCCGGUGACGUUAAAGGAUUUCCGUCUUAUUUCUCUGUGCAGUGUGAUAUACAAGAUAGUCUCUAAAUGUAUGGUGAAUAGGCUCAGACCGUGCCUUUUGGAUCUCAUUUCAGAAAAUCAAAGUGCGUUCAUCACGGGACGCUUAAUCUCAGAUAAUUUGAUGAUUGCUUUUGAGUGUAUCUACCAUAUCCAAACUUCUUCCGAAAAUAAUGAUUUUUGUGCGUAUAAGCUGGACCUUUCGAAGGCUUAUGACCGUGUUGAUUGGGACUACUUGGAGCGUGCUCUUUUGAAGUGGGGCUUCUCCCCACGUUGGGUUGAUCUAGUUAUGGAGUGUGUUAGAUCGGUCAAGUAUUCUGUCAAGUUUAAUGGCCGGCUACUGGAGCAGAUUUCUCCUUCGUGUGGUUUACGGCAAGGUGACCCCAUAUCACCCUUCCUGUUCCUCUUUGUGGCUGACUCCUUGUCUUCCUUAUUACAUGAGGCAGUCCUACAUAGAGGACUUGAGGCUAUCAAAAUCUGUAGGAGAGCCCCUGCUAUAUAACACUUAUUGUUUGCAGACGAUUCCCUUCUGUUCUUCCGUGCUACUACGGAUUCGGCGAUGAUUGUCAAGGAUGUGUUGAGUACUUAUGCUUCAGCUACGGGUCAAAUUAUCAACCCCUCGAAGUGCUCCAUCUUGUUUGCUGACAAUAGUCCAAAUCAAGUUGUGGAGGAAGUGAAACAAAUUCUGAAUUUUACUCAACAGGAGUUUUAACCAAAGUAUUUGGGCCUCCCGGUUCUAGAGGGGCGCAUGCAUAACGGACGUUUUGAAUCUCUGCAGUCUAGAUUGAGUAAGUGCUUGGUGAAUUGGAGUGAACGAUACUCGUCUUUUGCAAGUAAGGAGGUGCUUAUAAAAGCGGUGGCCCAAGCCAUCCCAGUUUAUGUUAUGAGUAGAUUCAAGCUUCCCAUGUCGGUAUGUGACGAUUUGACAAAGAUGAUGAGACAAUACUGGUGGGGGUGGAAAACAGAAAGAAAAAGAUGGCAUGGGUUGCUUGGGAGCGUUUGACUCUCCCUAAAUCUCAAGGAGGCAUUGGUUUUAGGGAUAUGCGAGCUUACAAUCAAGCUCUUUUGGCUAAACAAGCCUGGAGGCUUCUCACCAAUCUAGAAUCGUUAUGUGCCAGACUACUCCGAGCCAAGUAUUACCCUAACGGGAACUUGGUAGAUACAAUUUUUUCGUCGAACUCCUCGGUGGUGUGGAAGGGCAUUGAGCAUGGACUAGAAUUGGUGAAAAAAGGAACACUCUGGCGAGUAGGCAAUGGGGCUAGCAUCAGAACGUGGAGGGACCCGUGGAUCCCUAGGGGCCCCCCAUUUACUCCUAUCUUGCCAAGAGGCAAUUGCCGCCUCAAUAGAGUCCAGGAUUUUCUUGAUCAUCGCGGCAACUGGAAGUUAAACUUGCUACAACAGUUCUUCUGCCAGGCUGAUGUAGAUGCAAUACAGAAGAUCCGCACUUCCCCGCGCCAACAGGAGGACUUUGUAUCGUGGCCUUGGGACAGAUCGGGGCAGUUUACUGUCAAGAGUGCCUACCACUUUGCAAUGACUUCAAUAAGAGAUCAUCUUAGUCCGGGUGCGUCGAGCUCUACCCCUACAAGUGAUCGACCGUUGUGGAAGCUUGUCUGGUCUGCGGAUGCCCCCCCCCCCAAGAUGAGACACUUUGCAUGGCAGGUCAUUUCGGGAUCACUUCCAACAAAUGUUGAGAAGUUUCGUCGACACAUCGGUACAUCCGCUUGCUGCAAUCUCUGUCAAAGGGAGGAGGAGUCCUCAUUUCAUGCGUUACUUGUAUGCCCUAAUGCUGCUAUGCUCUGGGAUUCUAUGCGGCUAGUCUGGCCACUUCCCCCCAGAACAGAUAUCCCAUGUACGGGCUCAGAGUGGCUGCUCCACCUCCUAGCGGAAUCAAACGAGAAAAUGAGGAGCAGAAUCAUUAUGGUGCUAUGGCGUAUAUGGCAUCUGCGGAACGAAUUCACUCAUGGUAAAUCUAUCCCUCCACUCGAGGUUUCCUGCUCGUUCUUGGCAAGUUACUAUAACACCUUCCGACAAAUCUAGCUUAGUGUUGAGGAAGUUAUGAAAGGGAAAGCACCGUUGGUUCAUGAACCUACACAUAGGCCCCCAUCUGCGAUAUAUGCACCUCGCAGACCUUGGCCUCCUCCACAUGUGCACCAGGUGGCAUUGUCAGUAGAUGGCUCUUUUGACCCUACGGACGGGUCAGUGGGCUCGGGAAUGAUUCUUCGAGACAUGACCGGGACUAUUAUCUUCGCAUCCUACCGCAAAUUAUUCCACUGCAAUGAAGCUCUCAAGGCAGAACUGCAAGCUAUGAUGGAAGGGUUGAAGCUGGCGAUAGAGCAUUCUCAAGCCACUAUUGUAAUUCAGUCUGAUUGUGUGGUGGCUCUCAAGAUGCUUGGGGAUGGUUCAUUGGACAGGUCGGCAUAUGGGCACUUGGUGUCGGAGAUCAAAAGGUUCUUGAAUGAUAGGGUAGUUAAUCCUGUCAAAAUUCUUCGUGAACAGAAUAGGGUUGCACAUUGUUUAGCUAAUUUUGGUAGAUGUGGGGAUAACAUAGCCUGUUGGUUGGGUCAUCCACCCCCAUGCAUUAGCAAACUAGUUGCUGAAGAUUGUAACUCUAUCACUCUAGAAUAAAAUACUCUAUGGUUCUUCGCAAAAAAAAGAAGAACUUCAUGAAGGACGGCAAGGGAGUUGCUGCGCCCGAUAAGCCAGUUGCCGGGAAGAAGCCAAAGAACGGACCCAAACCUGAGACUGAGUGCUUUUAUUGCAAGGGAAACGGUCACUGGAAGCGGAACUGCCCCAAGUACUUAGCGGAUAAGAAGGCCGACAACACCAAAGGUAUAUGUGAUAUACAUGUUAUUGAUGUGUACCUUACCAGUACUCGUAGUAGCUCUUGGGUAUUUGAUACUGGUGCGGUUGCUCAUAUUUGUAACUCAAAACAGGAGCUGCGGAAUAAGCGGAGACCGGCGAAGGACGAGGUGAGGAUGCGCGUCAGGAAUGGUUCCAAGGUCGAUAUGAUUGCCGUCGGCACGCUACCUCUAUAUUUACCUACGGGAUUAGUUUUAAACCUCAAUAAUUGUUAUUUAGUGCCAGCUUUGAGCAUGAACAUUGUAUCUGGAUCUCGUUUAAUACGAGAUGGCUACUCAUUUAAAUCCAAGAAUAAUGGUUGUUCUAUUUAUAUGAGAGAUAUGUUUUAUGGUCAUGCCCCACUGGUCAAUGGUUUAUUCUUAAUGGAUCUCGAACGUGAUGUUACACAUAUUCACAGUGUGAAUACCAAAAGAUGUAAGAUUGAUAAUGAUAGUCCCACAUACCUGUGGCACUGCCGCCUUGGUCACAUUGGUGUCAAAUGCAUGAAGAAGCUCCAUGCAGAUGGACUUUUGGAGUCUCCUGAUUACGAAUCAUUUGACACGUGCGAACCAUGCUUCAUGGGCAAAAUGACCAAGACUCCGUUCUCCGGAACAAUGGAGCGAGGAACCAACUUAUUGGAAAUUAUACAUACGGAUGUGUGCGGUCCAAUGAGCGUUGAGGCUCGCGGUGGCUAUCGUUAUGUUCUCACCCUCACUGAUGACUUAAGUAGAUAUGGGCAUGUCUACUUAAUGAAACACAAGUCUGAGACCUUUGAAAAGUUCAAGGAAUUUCAGAAUGAGGUAGAGAAUCAAUGUGACAGAAAAAUAAAGUUCUUACGAUCAGAUCAUGGGGGAGAAUAUUUAAGUCACGAGUUUGGUACGCACUUAAGGAAAUGUUGAAUUUUUUCACAACUCACGCCGCCUGGAACACCUCAGCGUAACGGUGUGUCCGAACAUCGUAAUCGCACUCUAUUGGAUAUGGUGCGGUCUAUGAUGUCUCUUACCAAUUUACCGCUAUUAUUUUGGGGAUACGCUUUAGAGACAGCUACGUUCACUUUAAAUAGGGCACCGUCUAAAUCCGUUGAGAGGACACCGUAUGAAUUAUGGUUUGGAAAGAAACCUAAGCUAUUGUUUCUAAAAGUUUGGGAUGUGAUGCUUAUGUCAAGAAACUUCAACCUGAAAAGCUCGAACCCAAGUCGGAAAAAUGCGUCUUCAUAGGAUACCGUAAGGAAAUCAUUGGGUAUACCUUCUACCUCAGAUCCGAAGGCAAGAUUUUCGUUGCCAAGAACGGGUCCUUUCUGGAGAAAGAGUUUCUCUCGAAAGAAGUAAGUGGGAGGAAAGUGGAACUUGAUGAAGUACUACGAACCGGUAAGUAGCGCAGCUCAGGAAGAUGUUCCUGUCGUGCCUGCACCGACUAGAGAGGAAGUUAAUGAUGACGAUCAAGGUACUUUGGAUCAAGUUGCUACUGAACUUCGUAGGUCCACAAGGACACGUUCCACACCAGAAUGGUAUGGCAACCCUGCCCUGGAAAUCAUGUUGUUAGACAACGGUGAACCUUCGAACUAUGAAGAAGUGAUGGCGGGCCCAGACUCCAACAGCAUGGCUUGAAGCCAUGCAAUCCGAGAUAGGAUCCAUGUAUGAAAACAAAGUAUGGACUUUGACAGACUUGCCCGAUGAUCGGCGAGCGAUAGAGAAUAAAUGGAUCUUUAAGAAGAAGACGGACGCGGAUGGUAAUGUUACCAUCUAUAAAGCUCGACUUGUCGCUAAGGGUUAUCGACAAGUUCAAGGGGUUGACUACGAUGAGACUUUCUCUCCCGUAGCAAAGCUGAAGUCCGUCCGAAUCAUGUUAGCAAUUGCCGCAUACUAUGAUUAUGAGAUAUGGCAAAUGGACGUCAAAACGGCAUUCCUUAACGGCUCCAGCGAUCCAUCUAUGGGCUGGUGCAAGCAUCUCAGAGUUGGAACAUUCGCUUUGAUGAAAUGAUCAAAGUGUUUGGGUUUAUGUAGACUUAUGGAGAAGCCUGCAUUUACAAGAAAGUGAGUGGGAGCUCUGUAGCAUUUCUCAUAUUAUAUGUGGAUGACAUACUUUUGAUGGGAAAUGAUAUAAAACUUUUGGACAUCAUAAAGGCCUACUUGAAUAAGUGUUUUUCAAUGAAGGGCCUAGGAGAAGCUGCUUAUAUAUUAGGCAUCAAGAUCUAUAGAGAUAGAUCGAGACGCCUCAUAGGUCUUUCACAAAGCACAUACCUUGAUAAGAUAUUGAAGAAGUUCAAUAUGGAUCAGUCCAAGAAGGGGUUCUUGCCUGUGUUGCAAGGUGUGAAAUUGAGCUCGGCUCAAUGCCCGACCAUGGCAGAAGAUAGAGAAAAGAUGAGUGUCAUCCCCUAUGCUUUGGCCAUAGGGUCUAUUAUGUAUGCCAUGCUGUGUACCAGACCUGAUGUAAACCUUGCCGUAAGUUUGGUAGCAAGGUACCAAAGUAAUCCCGACAUGGAACACUGGACAUCGGUCAAGAAUAUCCUGAAGUACCUGAAAAUGACUAAGGAUAUGUUUCUCAUUUAUGGAGGUGACGAAGAGCUCAUCGUAAAGGGUUACAUCGAUGCUAGCUUCGACACAGAUCUGGAUGACUCCAAGUCACAAACCGGAUACAUGUAUAUUUUGAAUGGUGGGGCAGUAAGCUGGUGCAGUAGCAAGCAAAGCAUCAUGGCAGGAUCUACAUGUGAAGCGGAGUACAUGGCAGCCUUGGAGGCAGCACAUGAAGCAAUCUGGAUGAAGGAGUUCAUUACCGACCUAGGAGUUAUUCCAAAUGUGUCGGGGCCGAUGACUCUCUUCUGUGACAACACUGGAGCUAUUUCCCUUGCCAAGGAGCCCAGGUUUCACAAGAAGACUAGGCACAUAAAGCGUCGCUUCAACUCCAUUCGUGAAAAUGUUCAAGAUGGAGACAUAGAUAUUUGCAAAGUGAAUACGGAUCUGAAUGUUGCAGAUCCGUUGACUAAACCUCUUCCGCGAGCAAAACAUGAUCAACACCAGAACUAAACCUCUUCCUAGAGGCAAUAAUAAAAUUAUUAUUAUUAUAUUUCCUUGUUCAUGAUAAUUGUCUAUUGUUCAUGCUAUAAUUGUAUUAACCGGAAACCGUGAUACAUGUGUGAAUAUAUAGACCACAACAUGUCCCUAGUGAGCUGCUAGUUGACUAGCUCGUUGAUCAACAGAUGGUCAUGCAUGGUUUCCUAACUAUGGACGUUGGAUGUCAUUGAUAACGAGAUCACAUCAUUAUGAGAAUGAUGUGAUGGACAAGACCCAAUACUAAGCAUAGCACAAGAUCGUGUAGUUCAUCUGCUAAAGCUUUUCUAAUGUCAAGUAUCAUUUCCUUAGACCAUGAGAUUAUGUAACUCCCGGAUACCGUAAGAGUGCUUUGGGUGUACUAAACAUCACAACAUAACUGGGUGACUAUAAAGGUGCACUAUAGGUAUCUCCGAAAGUGUCUGUUGGGUUGGCACGAAUCGAGACUGGAAUUUGUCACUCCGUAUGACGGAGAGGUAUCUCUGGGCCCACUCGGUAAUGCAUCAUCAUAAUGAUCUCAAUGUGACUAAGUGGUUAGUCACGGGAUCGUGCAUUAUGGAAUGAGUAAAAGUGACUUGCCGGUAACGAGAUUGAACGAGGUAUUGGGAUACCGACGAUCGAAUCUCGGGCAAGUAACGUACCGAUUGACAAAGGGAAUUGUAUACAGGAUUACUUGAAUCCUCGACAUCGUGGUUCAUCUGAUGAGAUCAUCAUGGAACAUGUGGGAGCCAACAUGGGUAUCCAGAUCCCGCUGUUGGUUAUUGGCCGGAGAGCUAUCUCGGUCAUGUCUACGUGAUUCCCGAACCCAUAGGGUCUACACACUUAAGGUUCGAUGACGCUAGGGUUAUUAGGAAGAUUUGUAUGUGAUUACCGAAUGUUGUUCGGAGUCCCGGAUGAGAUCCCGGACGUCACGAGUAGUUCCGGAAAGGUUCGGAGGUGAAGAUUUAUAUAUGGGAAGUUGUCAUACGGUCACCGGAAAUAUUCGGGGGGCAUACCGGUAUUGUACUGGGGCCACCGGAGGGGUUCCGGGGGUCCACCGGGAGGGGCCACCUGUCCCGGAGGGCCUCAUGGGCUGUAGAGGGAAGGGAACCAGCCCCAAGAGGGCUGGGCGCCACCCCCUAGGGCCCAUGCGCCUAGGGUUGGGGGGGGGGGGAACCCUAAAGGGGGGCGCCUCCCCUUGCUUGGGGGGCAAACCCCCUCCCCCCUUGGCCGCUACCCCCCUCUAGAUUCCAUCUAGAGGGGCCGGCCCCCCUUCCCCCUUCUCUUAUAAAUAGAGGGGCGAGGGGAGGGUUGCAGCACCACAUCCAAGGCGCAGCCCCUCCCCUCCCCAACACCUCUCCUCCUCCGCAAGAGCUUGGCGAAGCCCUGCCGGAGAACUGCCACUCCAUCACCACCACGCCGUCGUGCUGCCGCUGGAGCCUUCUUCUUCAACCUCUCCCUCCUCCUUGCUGGAUCAAGGCGCGAGAGACAUCACCGGGCUGCACGUGUGUUGAACGCGGAGGUGCCAUUGUUCGACCCUAAGAUCGGAAUCCACCGCGAUCUGAAUCGCUUCGAGUAUGACUCCUUCAUCCGCGUUCUUGCAACACUUCCGUCUGGCGAUCUUCAAGGGUAUGAAGAUGCACUCCCCUCUCUCUCAUUGCUAGUUACUCCAUAGAUUGAUCUUGGUGAUGCGUAGAAUUUUUUUAAUUUAUGCAACGAUCCCCAAAAGGAUGGCGCAAGGCCUCCCCAGGAGCGGCCUCACCAGGCAGGCUCACGAGGAGGCGGAGAGAUCAAGGCGAGGAGUACCUCGCGAGGUGCACAUGACACAAGCCAUGAUGAUCGAGACCAGGCGGGCGCUAGGCGGGCGCCGGCCAGCGCAGUGUCCUUAUUUCCCCUUUGGUGCUAAGGGGGAAAGCGCAGGCGCGGAGUACCAAUGCAUCAGACAAAGGUUUCCCUAUCGGUGCAAUAAGACCAGGACUAGGAGGACGACAAGAGAAGACGGAGGUCACAGUGGAGCCCAAGACGGCUCAUCGCCAGUGCUUUUGACAGUGAAAGACCACCUUUAGUCAGGAUAGCUUGUACUAGUUGUCCCCUUCAAAUCCCGCCAUUGUGGAAUCCCUUCCCGCUCAAUAUUUGGGAAGAGGACCAAGGCCUCUAUAAACAGGACUAGCCACUCCCGAGGCAAGGGGAUCGACCAAUCGAACCCUGACCAAAACCACCCACACCAGCACAAGAACUCCUCCCCUCGCGAGGCGGUUCUUCCCCCUGUACUGUUCCUCAUCAGCCCAAGAGGCAAUCCACACACCACACACCGGAGUAGGGUAUUACACCACAAUGGUGGCCUGAACCAGUAUAAAUCUUGUGUCCCUUGUGCUUUUUAUCUUGCUAGCUUAGAUCCGCGGCGUGGCGAGGGAGUAGAUCGGUAGGAGAAAGAUCUCCGCGCGCACCCCAGAGUUCGAACCUUAAGGGUUUUGCCGGAACUCGAAAUUCGACAGAUUGGAUGAAGCAAGACAUGGGUCCAUGUAUUUGUAACUUCCUAGCAUCUUCGUGUAAAUCUAAGUUCCAUUCUUCAAAAAAAGAAACAAAAACUACACAAAGGCUAAGGUCACAAACCCCACACGGGUUUCGACACAAAAGUCAUGUUUUGAAAUAACAUUGAUCUUUUAGACUUGGCUGACAUAAACAUGUCGGUGAUUGUGUGCGUGAACUUGGGUGGGAUUUGAUGAUUUCCAUGGCUGGCAUACGAGACUUCCUUGAGUACAUCCUUGAGCAUCCAUCGGGUGGUUUCUGUUACACAUGGCAUUGUCUACCGCGGCGUGGAAGGAUUGGAAGAAUCUUUCUUGGAAUACAGAUCACGAAUAUGGACUUGUUAGCUUUUUCGAUUGAUGAAUUUCAAAUCAAAUCUGACCCCAAAAUAGAGCUUACAAUUUCACACAAAGCUUGUUGGCAGUCUAUGUUGGGGAACGCAGUAAUUUCAAAAAAAAUCCUACGAUCACACAAGAUCUAUAUAUCUAGGUGAUGCAUAGCAAAGAGAGGGGAGUGUGUUGUCUACGCACCCUCGUAGACCGAAACCGGAAGCGUUAUGCACGGUUAAUGUAGUCAUACGUCUUCACGACCCGACCGAUCCUAGCACCGAAGGUACGGCACCUCCGCGAUCUGCACACGUUCAGCUCAGUGAUGUCCCACGAACUCUAGAUCCAGCUGAGGUCGAGGGAGAGUUUCGUCAGCUCGAUGGCGUGUUGACGGUGAUGAUGUAGUUACCGGCGCAGGGCUUUGCCUAAGCACUACGACGAUAUGACCGAGGUGGAAAUCUGUGGAGGGGGCACCGCACACGGCUAAACAAUCAACUUGUGUGUCUAUGGGAAGCCUCCCUCCCUCGUAUAUAAAUGAGGAGUGGGGAGGACGGCCGACCCUCCUUGGGCGCGCCCCCAAGAGGGGAUUCCUACUAGGACUCCAAGUCCUAGUAGGUUUCCACCUAAAGGGAGAGAGGAGGAAGGAAGGAGAGGGAGUGGGGGAAGGAAAGGGGGUGCCGCCCCCCUUGCUUGUCCUAUUCAGACUCAAGGGGGAGGGGGCGUGCGGCCUGCCCUGGCCGCUCCUCUCUCUCUCCACUAAGGCCCAUCGAGGCCCAAUAGUUCCCCCGAGGGUUCCGAUAACCCUCCGGCACUCCGGUUUUAUCCGAAACUUCUCCGAAACCAUUCCGAUGUCCAACACAUAGCCAUCCAAUAUAUCAAUAUUUAUGUCUCGACCAUUUCGAGACUCCUCGUCAUGUCCGUGACCACAUCCGGGACUCCAAACAACCUUUGGUACAUUAUAUCACAUAAACUCAUAAUACCAAUCGUCACCGAACGUUAAGCGUGCGGACCCUACGGGUUCGAGAACUAUGUAGACAUGACCGAGACAUGUCUCCGGUCAAUAACCAAUAGCGGAACCUGGAUGCUCAUAUUGGUUCCUACAUAUUCUACGAAGAUCUUUAUUGGUCAAACCGCAUAACAACAUGCGUCGUUCCCUUUGUCAUCGGUAUGUUACUUGCCCGAGAUUCAAUCGUCGGUAUCUCAAUACCUAGUUCAAUCUCGUUACCGGCAAGUCUAUUUACUCGUUUUGUAAUGCAUCAUCCCAUAACUAACUCAUUAGUCACAUUGCUUGCAAGGCUUACAGUGAUGAGUAUUACCGAGAGGGCCCAUAGAUACCUCUCCGAAACACGGAGUGACAAAUCCUAAUCUUGAUCUAUGCCAAUCCAACAAACACCUUCGGAGACACCUGUAGAGCACCUUUAUAAUCACCCAUUUACGUUGUGACGUUUGGUAGCACAAAAAGUGUUCCUCGGUAUUCGGCAGUUGCAUAAUCUCAUAGUCUGAGGAACUUGUAUAAGUCAUGAAGAAAGCAGUAGCAAUAAAACUAACACGAUCAUAAUGCUAAGCUAACGGAUGGGUCAUGUCCAUCACAUCAUUCUUCUAAUGAUGUGAUCCCGUUCAUCAAAUGACAACACAUGCCUAUGGUUAGGAAACAUAAUCAUCUUUGAUUAACGAGCUAAUCAAGUAGAGGCAUACUAGGGACUAUAUGUUUUCCGUAUGUAUUCACACAUGUACUAAGUUUCCGGUUAAUACAAUUCUAACAUAAAUAAUAAACAUUUAUCAUGAAUUAAGGAAAUAAAUAAUAACUUUAUUAUUGCCUCUAGGGCAUAUUUCCUUCAGUAUAUGGGCCUGCCCAAGAUGAGAAUAAAUCUGAUUUUCUACGGGAAUUGGUUAACCUAGCAAAGGAUAAUCCUCACCCCUUACUUAUUUGGUGGAGGCUUUAAUAUCAUGGAGGUGUGUUGGCCAAAUAGUCUAAAAAAUCUAGCUUAUUCUGUCACAAAUGAUCUUCCGUACUGAAUUGAAAGUAAGGUUUCUUAGACUUUGGUCUCUGAACUGAAAGUAAGCCGUAAUCUGCAGGUGGAAAAAGGGAACUGAUUUAAACUGUAAGAUAACUGAACAUUACAGAAUGGCAAAAUGUUGCCAUAAACAGAAGUUGAGUGAAGAUUAGACUUUUUAAUCUUCACUGCUUGUUUAGACUCUCAAGUUGAUAUUUUGCGCACCUUCCUACUCAUCAUACUUGCGGAUCGAUCAAUCUUCAGAAGUUUGGUCUUUGUAAUCUUCAUUGCUUGCCUAUAAGGAAAUUGAACGUGCUUAUAAGUCACACUUUUGCAUUGUUUAUAUUCUGCUUGUGUCUGCCCUGCCAAUUAUCGGCACGCCAAAAUAUAGACAGACUAUUUGGCCAACACACCUUGCCAUGCCAAUAUUGAAAGAGGAAACCCAAAUAAGCAUAGGGAGCCAAAUUACUGGUGUCUACUCAAACACACAGCCAACGCUCCGUCAAUGCCAAUUUUUUGGCUGGCAACUCUAGUCUAGGCUCUAAAGCAAACAAAACCAUAAGUAUGAUGAGCAGGACGGUGAGGUAAAAUACCAACUCCCUUUAAUGGUGUAAAAUCUUCACCCGCAAAAAAAAGGUAAAAUCAAAAUAAUAAUAAUAAUAAUAAUAAAUAAGUCUACAAUAGAAGCGGACUUUUAUAGGGUGAAAAAUAGAAAAACAACAUGGGCGUUGGAUCUCCGACGCAUGGCUUUGGUCAGCCAGAGAACUGGUGGGGACUUUUCAUAUAUAGCUGUUUGUCGGGGUGGUUUUCGCGAAAUGUACAGAGUCCCCUCAAGCUCCGGCGGCCAAGCUGGGUCAUCCAUCCGAUCUAACGGCCCACGGUCGAGCUGAUUCUGUUGCAGUCUUUCCCCGGUUAACCGCUGAGGCGCCGACGAGUCAACAAGCUUCGAGAUGGCGUCGGCGGCGGCGGCGGCGCUGGCGGCGGCGGGGAAGCGAGAGUUAUCCGAGGACGACCUGUACCUCAUCCUCCACAAGUCGGCCCCUCUCCUCGCCCUUCGCGCCGGCUCGCCGCUUCUCCCCGGUCCGCCCUAGCUAGGGUUUUAACGCGCCGCUGAAUCCGUCCGCAGGUACUCGCCGGCGACGAUCCUGACGGCACUGCAGGAGGUGACGCAGCACGCGCAGCGGAGGAGCAUCGACUGGCGGGCGCUGGUGGCCAAGACGGCCACGGGGAUCACCUCCGCCCGCGAGUACCAGAUGCUCUGGCGCUACAUCGCCUACGGGCAUGACUUCGUCGAGAACGUCGAGGACGGCAGCCCCCAGCCACUGGUUUGUACUCUUGGAUGGAUUACUCUUCCAGUUCAAUUUCGACUAACUUCAGUUGCGUCUUCUAGCCAGUAUUGUGGCGUCAGGAACUGUUAGAUCUUAAGAGGCCGAUGUAUAGGAGAAAUUCAGUUUGUUCUACUGUUGCCUUAUCUUUUCCUAACGGUAUUUGUGGUACUUCUGUUGCCCUGAUUGAUUAUGGCAGGGUGAUGAGAGCGACUUGGAGUGUGAGAUUGAACCCUCUCCUAAGCCGAGCAACGAAGCCGCAGCUGAGGCCUCACGGUUCGCCAAGGUACCACAUUUUGUUUUCGUCGAAAGUAUUUCUGUCUGUAUUGUAGCUGAUAUGUUUCAUUUGUUUAUCAGAUGCUCCUUCUCGAUUUAGGAUGCCAAUGGCCUAAUUUCUGUUUCACCCCUUUGCCUUGUUUAUCUGUGUUCAUUAGGAACCCAUAAUCCCGGAUAUAUAAACUUGAACACCAUCAGUGUAUUUAGUAAUUGCAUAUUUUUUUUCUUUUAUUUGAUUCUUUGAUCAAGCACAUCCGGGAUCCGAGUGCGAGGUGUGCACAAAAUUUUGGUUGGCAUCUGCUUAAGGUCAUUGUGUCCUAUUGUACCACAAAUCAGUAUCCAUUGUCGUGCUAUGUAUGCUAUAUGGUUAUUGGCUUGUCCAUAUAGAUCCUUUGUAUGUUCUUAUACAAAGGAGUUGCAAGGUAUGGCCUACUUGGAUUUACUUACUAGUAAUGCUGUUGUGCACUAGGAGUUUCAUGUAGUAAGCGUGUAACUGUGACAUAUUCAGUACUGAAUAAAGUGCAUCUGCCCUCCUGAAAGUAUUGAGGUGGUGUUAAAUUAGUCCUAAAUAUAUGAAAGUGCAGAUUCCAGUCCCUUGUAGUAUUUUAGGUGAGUCUUCACAGGUCCAGAGCAACCCAGCUCGUUGCUGACCGGCACUCAUGGUGCUUUGACCGCAACCAAACAGCCAGAAUGCUGCUAUGGCAGGAGUUUUGCUGCAAAGGGAGCUUAAUGUGCUGAAUUGAGCUGCUCAGGACCCGCGGUGACUCAGUUUUAGGCUGUGUUUGGUUGCAGGAAUUUUUUGAAGAUUACUAGAAAUCACAGGGCAAUCUCGUUAGAUUCCUGCAUUUGGCAUAACCACUUGGAAUGAUAGUUAGAGACUAGAUUACUAUGAUAGGAUUCCAGUUGUUUGGGACCUAUGGAUUCCUUUUGAAACAGGUGGCUAUCUUGUCCUAAAAAAUGCUAGACUUUAGAUAUUAGUUCGAUUCAAACAUAGUGAUCGAAUUGUACUAAUCUUGUGAAGGGCUUUGUGUCCAUCCCAUUUAGGGCCUCAAUCAUACUGUAUAUCCAUGCCUAUGUACUAAUUAAAACUCAUCCAACUAAUGGUCUUGGGACAAUUCAAUCCAUCAUGUCCUGCUAUUUCACAAUGCGACCUUGACAUGGUGUGCAACCAAUUCGUUCUUGCAUUUGCAUCGUUAAAUUAAACAUACAGUUACUUGUUUUGUUGAAAUUGUACUUUCUUAUUAAACACUAGCUCCAGUUUUCGUUGAAGAUUGAUAAUAACCCUUGUACCCUAAUUUGGUCUUUAUUCUGUAUAAGUUAGUAAGAUACAGAUUCUUUCACAGCAUGCCUUUAUUUAUGCUAAAAGCAGCCUCAUCAGCAGUGAAAGAACAGCUUCCUAGCCGAAUAAAACUUUCUAAAGUCAAACCUAGCGGCCUUGCAAUGAUAAGUAGUUCGGUCUAAGAAGUGUUUUGUUAAUAAAAAAUACUAGCCGAAAAAGCAGUUCCAUUUGAAUACUCUGCCGUGAGAAAGAGUUAGAUCUUACUAAUCGACAAUCUGAAAGUCUUUGUCAGAAAGGGACAUAAAGAAAUAAAACAAGUCUUUGAAAUACAUCAGUAUUAAUCUACAUUGUCUCAUUAACAGGUUAUAUUGCACCAAAUGACCAAAACAACUCGAUUUUGUAUCCAUUGGAAAACUUUAAGGGUAAUGUCAUAUUCCCAAUUGUCUCAUUACCAUGGUAAUAUUCCUAGUAAUUCACACAUUCCUUUCAAUCUGGUUUUCUUAGAACCAAAUGCCACCUUAAGGUACUGCAGGGACCGGAAUGUGCACUUCAAUAGAAUUAGGAAUAACUUGACACCCCCUCAAUACUUUUGGGACUGCAGGUGCAGUUCGCUCUUCAGUAUGAGCCUAUGGAAGGCUGAUUGAUGCACAGUGUUGGCUCCACUCAAAAGCUUGAUUGAUGCCUCGUUAUCAAAUGAGACAUGAAGUCUGGUGUUUCACUAGAUAUCAUAGGACAGUGAACAGUUUGGCUGUAUUCGUCAAUGAAGAUCGAGUUCAUAUGAUUCACCCAAGUUUCUUGUUCUAUCGCAGAGAGGGUAAAGGUCCAUUUUAUUUGAUUUACAAGAUGGACUUCCUCUAAUGCCUCACAAGUCACACUCUCAAGUUUCACAAACUCGUAGUUUCUACAGAAAACUGGCUAAUCUACAAUUCUGCAACUGCAACUAUGAGUCAAUCUCUACCUUUAUAUGUAGAAAGACAAAAAUUAAAGCGUCAUAAUGUUUACACCCUCCAGUUAGAAAAGGGUAGCUAUCAUGUUUGCCCCCUCUAGUGACGAAAGAGUGGCAGUAGAUGAUAUGUACAGUCAACCUUGUAAUCUUUGGCAGUGAAUAUCUUUUGGGAUAUUAAAUUAGACAGAUAAAAAUAAUAAUCAUAGAUUUUUUCUCAAAAAAUGCUUUUAGUUAUGAAACUUUUUUGUUCUUAUUGCAAUUGAAAUCAAGUAUACUCACAGUUGUAUUUGGGGACCAUGUCUACACCCAAAAUGUCAUCCUUCUAUCACUGGCAUAUUAGUCUAUAAAAAACAGUUCUUAUGUCAGCUUCCAUUUCACUUACGUAAAAUAGUCAUCAUUUAUGGAAAAGGCAAAUCUCUAGUUUUGUUAGCAACUUCGUAUUGAUUACUAACUAUGUUGAGUGUAAUGCAGUCAUGCCAUGUACUAUUUGCUCUGUUGCAUAUUUGCACUUCAUUUCUUGUUAUCUUAGAUAUGCACAAUGUACUUGAUCCUAUCAUAUAAAUUGCAGAUCUUGAUGUAUGGACCUUCACGCGAGCAAGGUUCUAGUCAUCGUGCUAACUCAGAUGUUCCUCUGCUAAACACUCCAAAUGAAAAGAUACCACGUGUUUCAUCUGACAAACAGCUUGCUCAGAGCCAUCGUCUAACAAAUGGUACAGGUCCAGUUUCCAACUCAAAGCAGGCACCCCAUACAGGGUUAUCUCCUGAUUCUUUUGAUGGGAAUGGACCUCAUAAUAAAAAGACAAAGAAGACUAAAGCAUGGACUAAGGAUGAGGAUGCAGAGUUAAUGGCUGGUGUACAUAAGUGUGGUGAAGGAAAUUGGCUGGACAUUCUGCGUAAAUAUAACUUCGAUAGCACAAGAACUUAUGGUCAAUUGUCUCAGGUAACUCUAUGGUCACCUUGUAAAAUGCAUACUAGCAUCUAUUAUUGUGCUGCAGUUCAUCAUUGUUUACAUCCAUUCGGUUUACCUUAAGUUUUCCCGACUUGUAAUAACUUGGUAACAUGCUUUGCAAAUAUUCUAAGGUAAGUAGGCAAAUACAUGUGCCUCUUGCUGCAGUAGUUAGGUUCCUUUUCUUGUGAUCUGUGCCUAGAUAAAGUUCCAUCUCAACCUUACUUGGUCUGGUUGUUUAGUUCUCAUUCGCAUAUAACUGAUGCAUAGUAUAAUGAUUAGCUUGAUGGGACAUCCAUGUCUCUCGGUGUACAUAUUUGUCUGUAGAGUAAUUAGGUAACGUGUGCUGUUGUUUUCAGAGAUGGGCAGUAAUUUCCAAGCGUCAAGCAACAACCAAGCCUGCUAAAGCUAAACCAGUCACCGGGGGAUAUGAUAUGAAAGCUACUCAAAAGGCAUUCUUUAUGGCUCUUGAUAUGCCUAUGGGGAAGCCUGGUGGAUUGUCUACAUUAAGAUCAGGUAUUUAUAAAAUUCUUAUAAAUUGUCAGUACAGACAGCUCUCAUUUAGAAUAAUGCUUCUUUACCGAAAGUGUCAACAAGUCAAACAUUGUUCUAUAGCUUCGUUGCGUAUCUGAGAUGUAAAUCCAUUCUGGCAUCUUUGGAGUGCCUUGUGCUAGCCUUUUGGUGCUCAUUGAAGCUUUUUCAUGUAGGAGCUUCACAACAAAGCACUCAACAUUCUGCUCCAGUAUUUGGUGCUGCGGCACCUGAGUUAAAAUCUGCAACAUCAUCAUCAUUCUCGUUGCCAGUACCGGUGCCAAGUGCAGCCCCUGGGGUUGUGUCAGCACAAGUGCAGGUUCAACCUCCUCGGGUGCAACAGGCUCCUCCUCAAGCUGCGCCCUCAAAAGUGUCAAAUGCUUCAAUCAAGUCACGAAAUAGCUCUAAGAAGCAAACUGCACAAGCAAAUCCUACAAAUGCUCCUUCAUCUAUACAAGCUGCAGCUAUUGCUGCCGGUGGACGAAUCGCCACAGCAAGCAUCGCCACCAAUUUAUUGAAAGCUGCACAAUCCCCGCAAGCUGUGCACAUAAGAUCUCGAGGAAAAGGGUCUUCAAAAACUUCUACAAGCUCUAAAGCAUCCACCAUGGCUGGCGAGCCUGGAACACAGACUGGCAGUGCUCAACACCCAGAACUUCUAAACUGCAGUGCCCCUACACCAUCUCCUACGGUUUUGAUAACACAGUCAACCGAGCAAGUUAAUGUUGUGCCAGAAGUUGCAGGAGUUAAUCCCCCGGAACAAUCUGCUAGUGCACAUUUGUUGGAACCUGAUAGAACAUUGAGCACCACACCAGUGCCUGGCCCAUGCGACAAUAUGGAGAUUGACGACGACUCAACAUUUUGUGUAGUCACGAUGGAGGACUUGUUUCCUGAAGACGUGAAGCAGCCAGAGACGGUGAGUCAGCCAGAGAUGGUGAGGCAGCCAGAGACAGUGAGGCCGCCAGAGACGGUGAGUCAGCCAGAGAUGGUGAGGCAGUCAGAGACGGUGAGGCAGCCAGAGAUGGUGAAGCAGCCAGAGAUGGUAGAUCCCAAAGCCGAGGAGAUGAUAGAUCCCAAGGAUGCUGACAUGCUGGAGUUCGAUCGCUUUGUUGCCCAAGGAUGCUUGACUACAGAUUAUUCUGAUAAAAGCAAAGGUGUCAAAAUUGCUCCUGGAGCUCAAGGCGCUACUGCCAGCCAGAAGAAGAAGCAGCUACCCACAGUUGGGAAAAGCAUCCCUGUGUUUAGAGCACCAGUAAUCAUGAAGAAGACCAAAGCUCUAGCUUCACAUGGGGCGACGCUUGCAUCAACAGUCACCUCUAGUGGCCUUGUUGGCACAGGCAAUGCUGGUGUGCUGAGUAAAGCAAUAUAUCGGAAGCCAGCUGGUCCAGGCACCACAGGCAAACAAAAUAGGUGCCAAGAAAUAAUGGCCCAGAAGCAGCAUGCUAUAAACUCAAAUAGUAGCGCAAUGGCCAGGAAUGCGGCUCCCGGCACCGGAACACCAGCCAGGAAUGUGGCUGCCGGCGUUGGAGCACCAGCCAGGAAUGCGGCUCCCGCCACCGGAACACCAGCUAAAAGUGCGGCUCCUGCCACUGGACCAUCAGCUAAAAAUGCGGCUCCUGCCAGUGGAACACCAGCCAGGAACACAGCUCCUGCCACUGGAACACCACCAGUCAGGAAUAUGGCUCCUGGCACUGGAACACCACCAGUCAGGAACACGGCUCCCGGCACUGGAACACCACCAGUCAGGAACACGGCUCCUGGCACUGGAACACCACCGGCCAGGAACUUGGCUCCCGGCACAGCAACACCACUAGUCAGGAACACGGCUCCCGGCACUGCAACACCACCGGCCAGGAACUUGCUCACCGGCACAGGAACACCACCGGCCAGGAACUCGCUCACCGGCACAGUUACACCACCGGCCAGGAACUUGCUCACCGGCACAGGAACACCACCAGCCAGGAAUGCGGCUCCUGUCACCGGAGCACCACCAGCCAGGAACUUGCUUACCGUCACCGGAACACCACCAGCCAUUCGCCAACAUAACCCAGCGGUGAAUGGGGCUAGCAAGGGGAAUCUGCCGGCCAGCCAAUAGCCAGGCUAAUGACAUGGUAAAUGCUGUAAUAAUGCUCCUAGGGAUAAUGUGAAUAGGGUGUCACACCCGUAGAGUAGACAUCAUUAUUUUUGUUUUUUUCUCUCCCCCCGUGUAUGCUCCCUUAUUUUCUGAACCAAGUUGCUGAGGAACACAGUAGGUUUGAUUGGUCUUAUCUUUCAUAGUACCACUAGUAGUAGGCAGAACCCAAUUGUUAGGGGCACUGAAUCUCGGUGUGCGAUCGCAAUUGCCUUUUCUUGUAGGAUCUGCGUCGUCGUAUCAGUGUGGCUGUGAGGAUUGACGAUGGCGCGUCAGGUCGUUCCGUUCCAUCUGCAUUGCGGUGCUCCGAAAGUGUGGUUGUUAGAUUUCCUGAAGUGCAUGAGUUGGCUGUUGGAUGAGGUCUUGUUGGUGACAGAAGAUGUGUAUGACUGUAUACAUGGUGGUUGCAGCCUGGACCAUCAGGUACUGAAUCUGUUGACAAUUUGUCACCUUUGAGUGUGCCAUUCAAUUUGGUCUCGUCAUGGCUUGCGUGCCCGUGGACUGCAUGGGCAGCGCGGUGGAACGCGUUGCGCCCCUCGAAGACAUGGACGGCGAUCAGUGAGCCGUCUGCCUCCGGCCUUGUGCACGGGCUAACAAGCCAGGCCAGUAGCUACGGAACAGUUUAGAACAAUCAAGGCUUCAAAAUUCACAACCCAUAAGCAGUAAAAUAACACCACAAACUUCUCAUAUCUCUGGCACUCCAAAAGCCACAAUCCAGAACCGGUAAAACAACGAUACUAUCAUUCCAAGUCUCAUCUCUCUCGCUCUCUUCACGUCUCUUCUUGCCUAACAGAAAUGAGAAAAAAGAAAAGGGCCAACAAGGCCUUAAACACACUCACAACCAACAGCAAGACCUUAAACACACUCACAACCAAGAGAAAAACGAAAGGAACUGAAAUCCACAGCUAAGCAUGCAUAUCAGUGUGUGCAUGAAUAGGCAGAGCAAACUUAAACACCAGUGGCUGGAGCACUUGCAGCAGCAUCGUCGGGCCUGUCGAUGAUCCCGAUGUGGGUGAGCAAGGCCCAGAGAAGCGUGAUCAGCUCGCCGCCCCGGUCGAUGGCCCGCAGGUGCCCUUUGAGGUUGUCCGACGGAGCCAGGUAAAGGAUCAUCUCCGACCAAAACCCAGCCAGCAACUCCCACAACAUCUCCUCGCCUCCGGUCAGGCCCCCAAGUUGCCUUGCUAGCUUCGCGGCAUCCUUGAGCACCUCACGAUUCUGUGUAGCACCCAACAACUCGAUCAAUUGACGGUACCCCGCUUCCGGCGUCAAGGAUGACACCUCAAUGCCGCCGCCGCCGCAACCGGUGAGGGCUCGCUCGGCGUCUUUCUUAACUUUCUUGUAGAGGUGCUUGCUCCAUGUAUUAUCAUUAGGAAGUAGCUCGGGGCAGAAUGCCACUAGAUACGCGCAAUAGCACGACAGGUGAGUGGCGGCGAUCUUCUUCUCAUAGACAACAGAAGAAGGCCGACCAUCUUGUUGGUGGUGUGGGUGCCUCACCUCAAGGAUGGUGGUGGCGAUGUGCCACACAAGUAUGGUGUCAGAUGUACCUUCGUUGUUGUUGCAGGCCCAGAGUAAGUUUCUGCCAACUUGGCUCUGGCGCAGGGACGUUGUGCCUUUGCUUAGGCUAGCUCCAUUUCUUAGGGCGUUGAUGAUGCAAGCCUUCACUUCUGAUGGUACCAUGCCAUUAUUCCUCCUCUUUCGGCCCAGCAAGUGAAGAAGGCAGCCAGGUAAGAGAAGUUGGUGAAGUUGCCUUCGGUGAAGCACCAACAACGAGGUUUGUCUCAUAUUGUCGUUCCAAUGCCUUUGCAACAUGUUGCAUCUGCAUCGCAACAAAAAGCCAACCCAUUUCGGGACGAUAGGAGAGAGCUUCAAGGAGACACGGUGCACACAUCGACAGGUGAGGAUUACUUUGGUCCAGCUAGAGCACAUGUGGGAAGCAAUAUCCCUCGCCUCAGCAACCACCACAAACACAAGGAGUAACAGUAGUGGUACUAGAUCAAAAUACAAACUGCCAAAAUAUUGGCUUCUAUUGGGGCUAUUCAACGUUCCAUGACGACAAGCGUAAACGCACCAAACUGUGUGCAUCCGGUAACGACUCCAAAAAGCACUCCCAUGAGGUAGGACCUCAGGCUUCACCACUAAAGGUUUCCGAGUAGGAGCAGCAUUGUUGUACAUCACAGGGAUGACAUCCAUCCCAGAAAAUAAGCAGUAACUGAUGGUCAAGAGUGAGAUAACCAUGCUAAAUAUAGUCAGCCGGCUACCCGAGUAUGAGACUGGGAGUGGUGAAUCGUAAUAAUCAUGAAGAAAAGAAAGCUCAUUUGCAACCAUCCUAAACGACCUUUCAUGUCCACCAUCCUUUAGCAACACACUUCUGCAAAAUUUGAGGGUCUCGAUAGAGAUCACACCAGUGAGUUUGUACCUUGCAAAUCGACACCUUAGCAACUUAAACAAUGCAAAUGACAGACAUGUAUCUUUCAGUUGCGGUAUUGGCACCAGAAGCAUGUUGUCUAAUUUCCAAACUCUGUCAAUGGUCACCAAGCUGCCUCCGUGAAUUCCCUCCAAGUUGUUUCUGAACAUGUAACCAUGAGGUUGCUUCUCUACUUGUUGUUCGUCCUCACCCAUAACUAUGAGUGGAGGAGGCACAUUUACAACCUCCUCAUUUGUCGGCAUUGGCUCGCCAUUUUGACCACUUCCUUCUCGCAGUUGCUGCAUAUAUCCAAUAACAAGACGAGGAUUGCGCCCCAGUGCAAAGGAUUUCCGGGCCUUUACGAAUGCAUAACAUUUUAAUGCCAUUUUGGCAUGAAUAAGAGCAAAAGGUGUGGAUAUUCUGAGAUAAUUAAGAGGUGUGGUCUCUCCCACGGGAAUAACAUGGGUAUUGACAACUAGGUAAACAAUCCAAAUUCCUUGAAUGAGAAGUUCGAAAGGGGGACGUAUGCUUCGAUCCUCUCUAUCAUCAGUAGCAACUAUAGGGCUUGUAUUGAUAGCAGAAAUCAAAACAAGGCAGGUGGAUACUAUGACCAUGUAUGUGUGAAAGAAGUUUGCGAGGCAGCUGCCAACAAUUGGACUGAGAGGGACUCUAAAAAGACCGCCGGUUGAUCCAGUGGCGGAGAGCACAUAAGAUAUGAUGGGUAGAAAUAAGGUGGUUGCCCCCAGCAAGAGAUAGCGGGUGAAUCCAUAGUGACGAUAACGGUGGCCAUAGGCGCCUAUUCCGACUAUGAGUCCUGCAAGGAUGGCGUUGACGAGCAUCAUUGCCCCCACUCGCCAGAGCUGUCCUGUAACAUACUCGAAUAACUCAUCAUCUAUUCCUUCGGGGCAGUAAUCGAACGUACAUUGCUUCAAUACUGAAGUAUCCUUGCAGCACACUGUUUGUACAUUGGACCAGCUGGUAGAAUUAUCCGCCAUGAGCUGAUGACCAAAUUUAAACAUAAGUUAUAAUUUUUUUUGCGAGUAAACAUCAGUAUAAAUUAUUAGCACGAUAAAAAAAUCUGAUCUUGAAAGCAACUACUGUCACAAAUGCUAUUAAAAAUGACACUCUAACGGCGGAGACAGAUGCGCAAUUAAGUUGGAAAUGAAUAAGAAAACCAUCAAAACUGGAAUCAAAACGGUGUGCGGCUUUCUACUGGUUGAUUAAUACUAUAAGUCAGUCGAGGACUGUACCUUGUUUUCGUAGGGGCGAUCACACGAAGAUGUCAAUACAGGCCGCCUGGUCUUGUUUGAUUAUUCUUCGUCAGUAUCUGCAAGCCAUGGAUCGGAGGACAUGCAUGGAACCAGUACCAGUGUAUAUAGGAGUAGAAACUACAAAGUUCACAAUCACAUUUGUGAUGGCCCCACACGGCCAGCCUUACUAUGCAAUAAGAGAUGUUUAUCUUUUCUUUUUCCCUUUUCCUUUCUUUCUUUGGAAUAUGUUGCUUUCGUUUUCAUCUUUUCCUUCCUUUUGUUACUAUAAUAUGUUACUUUCUCCUUCCUUUGUCACAAAGCACCAUGCAUCUUGUCUUUAAUCGAAUGAUUUGCCGUUAGAUCUUUCACGUGCGUGCAUGAUUACCACAUCGACCAUGCAUGGUCCGGAACAUGUUCCUUGCUUCUGGGAGUCCCCUAGCCAGCUGCACACGGGCCACUGCUUUGCACAGCAGAACAGAUGUGCAGUGUCCUGUGUUCGUUCGGGGAGAAAUGUCGGCGGAAGAUGAUAGACCAUCCCACGGGUCUCCACCUCUCACCGGCAACAUAUUUGGAAUCUGGAUCGGAAGCCACGUAUGUUGGAAUGCCAUGGCCGGUGACAAGUGACCACAGAGCACGUGAGACACCGACGCAGUAUGCAAAGAUGUUACCCCCUCCGUUUGUAUUAAAUCAGCGACAAGUAAAAUGGAACGGAGGGAGUAAUUGUCUACCUGCGAUCCGGCCUUGUUCGUCAUCAGGGACAAAGCUAGAAAAAAAAGUUUUAAUAGGGUCAUGUCUAUGACAGUGGGGUCAUCCUGUAUAAAUGAGUGAUGAUUAGUACUAAAUUAAUGAAGCCCCAUUCCUUACAAGGCAGCUCCGUCCCUGUUCGUCGUGGCACACAGAGUCGAGGUGCCCACAGCAGGUCUCAAUACUGAAUGUUGUUAUAAAAUUUGCUGCAACCAGUGCUUUGCAUACUGCUGCAACUCUGCAAAAGCCCAAGUUUUAGUUAGUUGAGAUCCGGUGUUAUACUCAUGAAAUUUUGUCAAAUGUGUCACACGAACACUAAUCACACAUUAAAAACAUGUGCCUUGAUGUCAUUACCCUCCCAGUACAAUGAUCUCCAUUUCUGCAAGCACGGAAAUAUAUCAAUGCUAGCCAUAGGCCGUACAACGGUGAAAAGGUAACACACACACACACACCUGGGCCUGGGCCAGCACUUCUCCAAGUUCAGUGGAACGCCAAAUAGAAACAGUAUUGCAUUUGCAUUAUUGAGUGUUGACAGCGAGAAGAGCUAGCCGUAACUUCUCGAAGAUAAAAAAAA